This 50627-nucleotide long non-coding RNA is filed under the name Theobroma cacao (cacao). RNAcentral describes it as "long non-coding RNA (TCAC_LNC000691)". The stretch from base 40320 to 40393 matches the Rfam family "tRNA". The record is from RNAcentral. Lineage: Eukaryota; Viridiplantae; Streptophyta; Magnoliopsida; Malvales; Malvaceae.
UUAUAAAAAUCCAACCCCAAGUUUACACUUUCGAAGCAUCAAUCUCCCAAAAAAGCCUGAACAUCUGAAGAACACUUUGAAACCAUCUCUCAUUGCUUACAUUAACAACCUUGUUCCUUUGUUGUCUGCGUUUGCAUUUAAGUUGGAAGAUUGCUAACCAUGUCUGGGCUUGUGGAUAAGUGGAGGACUGAGCUCGCCAAGCUACGUGAAAAGGGUCAAACCCUUUUCUCCAGUGGUUCAAGCCCUGCCGCUGCCAGUGGGGUUGAGUCUGGCCAGGUGGUUCAACAACAACAAGAAAGAAGCUCAAAUGGGUUAAUGCAAGUUUUUGUUACCCGAGUCAUGUGCUCCGAGGGUUCUGUUUCCAUGCUUGUCCAUUGCUUUAGCCCUUGAAACAGAGUUUGAUCGUUUAUUCAUGGUGUUCUUUUCUUUUCUUUUCUUUUUUUUCUUCUUUUUUCCUUUUUAAGUUUUGAAAUGAUUCGCUUGUGUAAAUACACCGCUAAGCCUAAUAAUUGUUCUACUUUUUUACUAUAAAUUAAACUGUCUUAAACCCAUAGUUUAUCUUCAUUUAGUAAAUCAUGGAAUUUUAUCUUCCAAUUCCUUCAUCUUUGAAUAUCAUGGAGAAAAUCCCAAUACCAUCAUAACACUUUGAAGUGAUCAAGUUUGAGAGUCAAUAAAUAUAACAAAAUAAUCAGGAGAAAAAGUGAAAAACAAUGGACUGAGGACAAGGAGGAAGACGGAAGACCUGAUUAAAAUGUCAAGUGGUCUAAGACAGGACUGCUAAGUAGAGUUCAUGGUGAAUAGAAAUCAAACUUCUGAUAAAGUUAUGUUCCACAAGGGUAACAAGAUACGAUACUUAAAAGAAAAAUAUGUAAGUAUGAGGCUGUCCUUACUUCCCCCAUUUCAUUGUCACUUCUGUCAGUUCAGUUCAGACUGCAGAUUUUGUCAAGGUGAUACUUCCCCUGGCUAAUCAAAAACCUGAGGACUGAAGCAGAAAUGCAGAAUUGAAGCCAAAUAGAGUUAGGGAAAACUAGAAUCUGCAGCCUGACAGGAUACUACAGCAAGUCUACUUCAAACCGGGGCCACGUGCUCAUUGCUCAGGGCCACUGUAUUUUAUUGAACUUUCCUACCUUCCGAGAAGGAAAACUAUUUUGUUGCUUACCUCCCUGUCCACGUGAACAACUAAAGGCUGUUCUAUUGAACCUUCCAGAGGAAAAAAGAAAGGAAGAAAACAUGGGCUCUAACUAUAACUGACAAAAGAUACCACACCAGCAGCCCACAACAUUAUAGAAGAAUUUCUUGUGUCUACUUUGCUUGUACCCAAUCAGGCGCCUGAUCCUCGUACGGGAAAGGUAUCAAAGGUCAAGCUGUAGAGAGAGGAGAGAUUGAGAAUCUCUCGUUUUCUUAAAUAGUGAAGACGGUAUGAGCAUAUACAUGGCAGAACUUUCACAUAGGAGAUAUUCAUAGCUGGGACUGGGGAAUAUCCAGUCCCCCAUCCUUUUCUACCAGUUUUAACCGUAUCUGGGGGCCGACCACACGCUGAUUUUUCCUUUCCAACUAGUCAAAGCCCACAUCCUCGACACCACUAAUAAAACACUUCGGUGGUUUUGUUAAAACCACAACUCUUUCUCAUUUUUCUUCUAUAUAAACCCAUUUAGUUCCCCUCUCUUUUCCUCAAACAAAAAGAGGAAAAGCAAAAGCAAGAGAACACAUUACCAAGAGAGAAAAAGAAAAUUUCUUUUUUCUUCAAUUUUUUGUGAGAAAAAAUGUCUGCAGUCGUAGGAGGGUGGAUGGAUGAGCUAGCAAAGCUCAAAGAGAAAGUCCGAGCAAGAAGGCCAUUCUUGUCAAGUGCCAAAAAAGACCAGCAGUUUGCCAAGGAAGGACAUGUUGAAGAGAAGGAAGCUAAAGAAGAUAACAAAGAAACCACAAUGUCAGAAGCUACUGUCUGUUUGCUUAUGGAUCGGUUUGUGCCUUGGUGAUUGAGAAAAAAAAAAAAGUGAUUAAGAAGUUCCAUUGUAACUUUUUUUCGAGCUUCUAAGUAAAAACAAGGUUUCUUAUCGUGCUUUGUGUAAUUAGAGUUGUUUUGUUGUGGAUAUGGUUUCAUUAAUAUGUUCAUGGCAGCUUUGCUUCGCAAUGUUCAUUUAUCUUGUACCCUUAGCUCUGUAUAUGAUUAGCUGUUCAUAGAACAAAGGAAUUCUUGGCACAAAAGUCAAAAGCUUUUCUGAUUUCUUCUCACCGUAUUCUUCUGCAAGUUAAAUUUGAAGCAUUGACAGUGAUUUAAAGCAUACAACAUGUCUUACACUGUUUCACCAUUGAGUUAUAUGGAUUUAGAACAAAAAAACCAAUAAAUAAAGGAAUCUGCACUAAUGGCAGAAAGAACCUUGGUUUCGGGUCUAAGAAUCUGAUUUCUCUACAUCUGACAUAUUCAAGUGGGGUUUUAUCUAUUUUCCAUUUGAAAGAGAAAAAAAAGGGGUCAUGAGGUUGAGCUUGCCUCAAUAUCCGUAGAGGACAAUUCAUUGUUAACAAAGCUAUAUUCAUAGUCAUUCCACUUACGAAUGUUCCUGGUGUAUCUCAGAGCUUCAUCAACAGAAUCAGGCUCCAAGCCGGUAACCAUUGAAACGUACAACUUACGACCAGUAAGAUCACUGAACAAUCUCUUGAACUUCACAGCGAUAUAGUGGAAGGCACGCUGUCCUAGUGUGGUGUGAUUAUUUCUGCUGCUGCAGUUGGUUGUUUGGUUAUGGUAAUUAUGGCUGAUAACUGGAUUGAAGUCAUGAAACCAUUCACAUCGAGUCAGGGGAACCUGCUCAAUCUUUUCUUCGAGCAGGUCAGCUUUGUUGAGUAUUAGAAGGAAGUCCUUUCCCUCAAAGGUUGGAUGGGUGACCAUACAUUCAAAAAGUUGCUUGCUUGCCAACAUUUUGUUUGUGAGAACUCCAUUUCUGUCUAGUGAGAACUCAUCAUAGUCGGUCAAGGAGACACAAAACAGGACCAUGUUAACGUCUUCAAACAUUUCCACCCACUUGCAGUUCUCCCCAAGGCUACUGGGAUGCAGUCUAAUGAGUUGGUACCUGCAGAUUCACAGAAUGAAAGGCUAAGCUACAUAAAUAUAUGUGAGUGCCCAGUAGUAGAUCUGCUCAGCUUUGAGGCUUGAAGCAUAUGAAGGAAACCUCUCUCUUUCCUUUCAUUACCAUGAAGACGGAGAUAAAGAGCAUUCCUUUGUUUUCCUCCUUUUUUCUAAAUAACAGAAAGGCCCCUAUGAAAGAUUCCUACUUUUGCCUGUAUGAAAGAUAAAUCUUUAUUUGAUACAAUAGGAAAAUGGAUUGCUUAAAUUCACCAAAGACGAACAUGAAAUCUUCCAAUGAUGCACUCUUCCUACUUUAAGGAUGUGUUAGAUGCAAUGAACUGUAAUUUGGUUGAAAAUAAUUUGAGUUGCUUGAGAUUGCAGCUGAUCAGUCAUCAACAUCACCAACAACUCGGUCUUUCUUUUUCAAGAUGAGAUUUACUCGGGACAUCACAAGGCAUCUAAACAAGUUUUAAGGCAUUUGUAGCAAAUAAAAGUAAAUAAUUUACGUAUAAAAUAGAAUAUAACUAACCUCGCUGAUGGGUCAUGCUGAUAACCAUCAAUAGAGCUUUCUUGUUCUAUUGUGGGAAAAGAGAAUUCCAUGCAAGAAAUUCCAUUGGAUGAUGUAAUUCCCUCAGCAUACAAGAUGUCCAUGUCAGAGGGCUCAUAAUCCAUGCUUGAGAUCUCAACAGCCUGAGAAGAAGAUAGCCUUAAACUAUCAGAGUUGCUAAGAAACCAGAAUUCAAUAAAGUGAAGAGUAGUCAUAGAAGUCACAAUGCUGCCAGAUCCUGCACCUUUCUUCUUCAAGCUUCAACAAAUUAACUAAAAAACUAGCAAUUUCAGCUGCCAAUUUAGUUUUAUCAAAAAGUUUUAGUUGGCAGGAUAAAGAAAUUGCUCACUGGCAGUGGCAGCAAACUUGAAGUAUACGGCAAACUAUGCAUGUUAUAAAAUUUAUACCACAGUAUAUAGAAUAGCUAACCAGGAAAGCAUCAGUAAACAAAUUAGACAAGCAUAUUUUAAUAUCCAAAAAGCACAAAAAAAGAAAAAAAAAGUUAAAAGGGAGAGGGGAGGUUAGAAGUUGGACCCCAUAGAGUGGGCUUACCCGUUCUAGGAAAUAAGUAGCCACUCUGGGCAGCAUUUCUAGUUCAUGCCUCCUGCUAUACGUGGCCUGAAAGGCUGCAUCAUUCCACAGCUCCCCAAUAAACGGUGCAUAUUCACGACUAGCAGCUGGGAAGAUGGCUUCCAAAUUACCAGACACCAUCACUUGUACAAGCCAAUCUGAGAAAGCUUUCAGUUUUCGGCAAAUGGAAUAUUUUGUUUGACCAUCAAUCUGGCUUGCACUGCCUGUAGUAAACAGAAAGCUCAAACUCUAUUCCAUAAUAAAGUCAAUUAUUCUAUGCCAAAUGCAAGUUUCCUCUAGCCCAAUAUAUUACAAGAAAUCCAAAUAAUACACAUCUAAAGUGCAAGAGCACAGCUACUACUACACUUUCAGAAAAAAAAAAAAAAAAGAAAUAAUAUACUAACAGUAAUAUAACUAAGGGCAUUUAGAUACAACAGAUACCAAUAAAAAUCCAUUUCACUGGUAAAUUUGUCUAUUAAACAUUUGAUUAUUAGUCUGCUGACAUUCUUGUUCUUUAUGUAUAAUAAUAGUGGGAAAACCUAAAAGUAAAUACCUGAAGCCUGUCCACUAAGGCUUUUACAGAUCAUCUUGCUACCUAUGAGGCUUAUCACAACUGAUUGAAGUAUUACAGGGGAGAAAGUUUAAAAGGUUUUCUUGAAAAUGUAUCUAUAAAUUAUAAACUAAUGUCAAAAAGGUUUAGAAUUAUAAUUUAAUAAGAAAAUUCUCAGAGAAAAGAAAAAAAAAAUUGGUGAAAUUGAGUACUGAACAAACCACUACUUAUUGUACCUGAAGAACCAGAUCCAUCAGCAAUCUGGCUUUUUCUAGUUUCUUGUAGGCUUUCUUCUUCGAACCGUUCUUGACCCUCAAGCAAUAUGCCGAAAUACCCAUACAAAUUGCUUUGGAUCAUCAACUUGAUGCUUUGGCGCUCAUCUUCAGAGAAAGAAAUAUUAUACAGAAUCUUGGCCUGAGAUAAGCAAGUAACAAAUUUAAUGCUUCAUUUAGAAAGCCUAUUCUGCAUUUCCAGUGUCACAAAACCAAAUUUAAUUGUCAUAAAUAUGAAGAAAAUUUUAAAUCAUAAUCAAAGAUAGUUGUGAGUAUAGAAGCAUUAAUGAGGAUUGAUUUACUUUCUUGAUCACCAAUUGCACUUUAACACAUUUAUAAUGGCUUAAGAAAUAGAAACAAUUCAAAAGGUUAUUGGAACAAGUUAGAAUUCAGGGCCUCUUCUUCUAGCGAUGAAAUGAAGGCAAAUAUGUUCCUUUUUCUUUUAGAUUUUCCAGGGUAAAUCUACAGACAAAAAUUACUUUAACUUAUCUUUUAAAGAAAACAGAAAAUUAAAUCUAUACAUUGUGUUUUCCCAAUUCCAUCACUCUUGUUCAAGCUCCUCAAUCCUUUAAACAAUCUAGGUUGUUGUCAAAGGCCUCUUUUCAUGGCUGAACUGAUGAGACCUAUCAAUUUUGGUUGACAAAGCCCAUUGGUAAGUCAGCUCAAGGUCCAAGAUCGCCAUCUUAGGAUGAAUGAUAGAAGAAAGGUAUAUGUUAAAAAAGCAAAAGUAACAUAAAUUCUAUUUACAGCCACCAAAAUGAGGGUAAAUGUUAGUUGAAAUGAGUUGCCUCCAUCGAUAUAUUACCUGCUUAUAUAUCGUACUUGUGCCAGACUUUUGAUAGCCAACUAGAAGAAGUUUGUGAAGAACUUGCUGCUCUAGGGUUUCCCGGCUGACAUCUUCUCCAGCAGGAUUCACAGUAACAGGAGGAACCGGCAAAGACAAGAGAGCACAAAAAAGCUUAACUCCCAUCUGAAAAUAAAAACCUAAUGUUAUUAUUGGUACAUGAUAUAAGGAAAAUAUAAUGCCUGCUGUAUGCAUAUCCACGUGCAUAUAUACCUUGUCCCAUAUAGGCCCCUUUACAUUCUUCUGACCCUCUUCCUGGUAGGAUCCAUCUGCACUUAGCCAAAAGCUAGGUUUUCCUUCACAAUGAACUCCUGCCAACUGCAAAUAUUUAACAAAAUGGCAUUGAACUUAAAUGUCUAAAAAAUCAUAAUUUAAAAAACUUAAUCAUGUACAGUAUAACAACCUGCAGCAUCCACAGCUCUUUUUUAGUAAUCUCUCGAUUAUUUAUAACUAUAUUUGCAUUUCCAUUGCUAGCAUUAGCCUUCAGGUGACCUCCAACAUUUAGCUGCGCAGUAAUAAUCUGGCAAGGCCCAUGUCCUUCCUGAUUGUUUAACAGAACAGUAGUUCAAUGUUAAUGCAACAGAUUGGAAGUUAGAAUAGUUCCUUUUUUUAAAAAAAAAAAAUAGAAAAAAAGAAAAGGAAAGGAAGGACAUGAACAAAGUCUGGUUAUUACCUUUCCCCAAAGACCAGAUAAUUUAUCAUACCAAUAGAAUCCUGGUUUUAGCUUUCUUGGCGGGUUUUGGCAGAUCUGCAAAUUAUGCAACUCAUCUUGACUCAGUGGCUCUCCAUUCACAACAACCAGCUCAGGUGGUAACUGGUUUGCCUCACACGUUUUCUCGGAACUCAUUGCCUGUUGAACUUCCAACUCAUUGAGCAGCCGCUUGAGCAGCCGAGAACAUUUUCCAAGAGUUUCUCGCCUUGACUCAUUUAUCUUCUUACCGAUGCAAGUAACACAUUUUCUUCCCUCUGGCAUCGACCCCAUUGCUUUCAGUACACACUUAUAACAAUACUUAGCAUUACAAACAAUGCAAAUCUCCUUUUCUGUAAACCGGUUUCCCUUUAAGCACCUAUAGCAUGACCCCUUUUUCCCGUUCCUUGCAAUGGGUUGUGCAGCAUCGAUGCUUUCUGUCUCAUAAUAGCUGGAAUCUUCCUGAACCAUUGCACCUGAUUCAGGAUCAAGGAAAGUUACAACGGAUGGUCUUCUGACAUGGCAAGGAGUCUCAUUGUUAGCAUCCUCUACAACGGAUGGUCUUCUGACAUGGCAAGGAGUCUCAUUGUUACCAUCCUCCCCCUUUUGGAAAGAGACAUCAGAUGAUGAAAGCACAGGUGAGCUUGAAACUGACUCUGUUGUAUCAGAAUCAGGAGGAUCCAUAUACUUCUGCAACCCUAAGCCUUCCUCACCAUGAUCAGUAAGCUCCAACUCUGCCAACCCUCCUGAUGAUUUUUGCAAACUAUCAUGAACAACAGAAAUUUCCAGGUUACCAGAACUUCCCAUUCCAUCACAUAAUUUCGUUCUGCACCCACCAUCAAUUCCCUGACCUAAUGUAUCCAAGCUAUCAACUUGAAUUGAUGAUUCAUUGGACACACCAGGACGAUCAAUGGAUUUUCGAGCUGAGCCAGGUCGAGAACCAAAUUUUUUAUCUUCGGACCAUUUUUGCUUCACUGGAUUAGCCUUUACAAUUGGUUGGAUAACUGGCACUGAAUUCUCAUUCAAAACAUAGGAAGAGGAAACUGUGGCAGCAGUGGGGAGUUGGUCAACGUCCACCGGAACUGCUUUGGGGAUAUCAUAAGGGACCGGAGGACCAUGGUACUCAAUAGCAAAUGAGUAUUCAACAUUAUCGUUAUCAUUAUCGUCAUCUUGAGCAGUUGAUUUCCCAACAGGAAGAAUUUUCCUUAAAAGGCCAGCCAUCGCUUCUUUAAGUCUCAAUUUCAAGAAUCAAGCCACCAAUCCCAAUCCCAUAAACCCAAGAAAAAUAACCAAUUAUCUCAAAAACCCAUGAAGCAAACCAAAAAACCUCAAAUUCCCAUGAAGAAAAAACAGCCUACAUCAGAAACCCAUGAAGCAUAUCCCCCGACAACCAAAAGAAUCAAACUUUAACACCCAUUAGCCACCAGAACUACAAUCUGCUAACAACCUAUUCAAACAAUCAAAUAAAGCUAUUUUCUUUCCCUUCAUCACCUACAAAAGACCCUCCGUUUUUUUGUUCUUCUCUUUCUUUGAGGUCUAAAAGACAAAACAACUAAAAAGGAAGAUGGGAAACCUACAGGGAUUGGCCCAUAGAAGUGAAACUGGGAAAUUUCCCAGAGAAAUGAGAAUGAAAAUGGUUGCAAACAAUAAUAAAGAAGAAUGAAAAUGCCGAGUCUUCCCUUACCAGUAAACGAUGGAGACUGGAGAGAUGACUGACUGGACAUAAUUGUCUUUGAAUUAUUCAUUGUUUUUCCACGUCAACACGCUGGAGAAGAAACUGCUGGGAAACACGAAGGGGGAGAGGAAAAUUGGAGGGCGCUUUCUUUGCUUGAAAAUGUGUCAAUGUCAAAGGAGAAUUAAUAAAAACAGUGUCGAGUGGAGAACGACCGAAUGCGGAGGCCAAUUGGUUAUGACGCCAUUUUGGAAUUACGUCACCUAACGUUAUGUUUGGAUGCCGAGUAAAUUAAGAAAAUGACGAGAAAAUUUGGAGAAAAUGAAAAGAAAUGCAAUAAUUAAGGAAAAAUGAGAGAUUUUCUCUCUAUUUGGGAGGAAAUUUAAUCUUUGUUUAUAUAGAGAGAUGAUGGCAUACUUCCUUUACUAAUAAAAGUUUUUUACUCAAUGUUUCGUUUAGAAUUUAGUAAAUUUUUAAUAUUAAUAUUACUUUUAUUAAUAAAUAAUUUAUUUACAUAAUUAAGAUAAAAAAUUCAAGAUUUACUAUUUAAAAGUUAAAGUUUUUUUUAUUACUAAAUAUGAAAUCUAAAACUCGACAGUCAAAUUAUGGAAACGACACCAAACAAAGAAAUUUUUUUAAUUUACUUAUGUGAUUCCAAGGGAAAACUUUUUACUUCUUGAACCAAUUUUUUAAAAUAAUUAAAACAUAUGGAUAAGUUUUAAUUUCAAAGUCAAAAAGUAUUUACAAGUUUAUUUUUCAUAUUUUCUCCAUUCCAUGAAACUUUUACGGCCAUAUUUUACUCAAAAUAUCAUAAAAAAAUUCGUAUAAUGUAAUUAACUUUAUAAAAAUACUGAUAAACGAUAAAAAAGAGUGCGAUUAAAAAAAUGAUAAUAUUAAAAGAAAAAAAUACUAUCGUAAGUCAAAUUUGUUAUAACGUUAGGAAAGUGAAAGGUGGAAGGAGAAAGUAUGGAAAGAAGGAAAAAUAUGAAGUGUUUCUUAUUAAAUUAACCGCUUCCUUAAUUUCAAUUUAUUGCUGUUUAAUUAGUAAAGAUUAAAUAAAAAGGAAAGGAAUAUAAAAGAUUAAGACGUGUUUGGCACACGUAAUUUGGGUCUUUGUCUGACUUGGUAAACAAAUAGGGAAGAGUUUGAGUUGAGGAAGUCUUUUGCUUGGUGAAAAGGUCCAUUUGUCACCAGGUUUGAACUCGUAAUUGGAAAAUUCUUAAUAUAAUAAAGUUAUUAAAACUAUUAAAACGACUUUAUUAGUUGAUUGGGAUUUGCACUUGAGGUAAUAAAAUAUAAUUUUUCUUUUUGUUUUUAAUUUUUAUUGUAUUAUAAAUAUAUCGUUUAAAAUAUAAUAUUUCGAACUUAUAACAUGGAUUAUGCACUAAUUCAAUACUAAAACUAAAAUUAGUAAAAAACGACUUAAUUUGUUAAUUCGGAUUUGUAUUUGAAGUUAUAAAGUAAAGAUUCUUUUGUCUUUAAGAUUACUAUUAUCGUGUAAUAAAUAUAUUAUUUAAAACAUAAUGUCUCGAAUGCAAUAAUAUAUGAUGUCUCGAUUGACUUUGCACUACUUUAUUUCUAAUCAAAUGAAUGAAUUGGUCAAUGUAUGCCUUUUCUUUUUGGAAAAAAUAAAAUAAAAUUCAAAAUUUGACAUAUAAGUGAAGUAAAUAAAAAGACAAAAAGGAAAACUCAAUCACAAUGCCAAAAGGUGCGGUUGAAGAGGACAAUUUUGGUAGAAACUAGUGCAUGUUUCACCCAUUGAUUAAGGUCUUAUCUUUGACUUGGUAAAUGAUGAAGAGGAUUGGCACAUGGGAUUCGCUUUGAAAAUGUUUAAUGUGAAUUUUCUUUUUCCAUUGACAUUUUUCACGAGUAUCACCUUUUUUUAAAAAGAAUUAAGAAAAAGAAAUUCAAACCGUAUUUUUUAAAUAAAGAGAUCAUACAUCAAUUAAUAAAUUAAAUGCUCGAGUAUAGUACUGACUUCUCAUUGCCGAGAGAGGAAGGUUUUGGAUGUAUUUAUUAAUCUUGUUUAGAAAAAUAAUUCAAAGUUGCAUAUGGGACUUGGAAGUUAAAAAUCAAUAUUAUAACUAAAAGUAAUGUGAAAUCGUUUAAUAAAAUUUCAUUUUUCGGUAUUUAAAAAAAAAGAAAAAUAAAGUUAAAAAUUAGUAAAUUGGAACAGCUUAAUGUCAAAAAUAAUGACAGAUGGGUGUGAGUAGUUUAUUAGGACUUGAGAAACUUGAACAAAGUGUUCCUUAAGGCCCAUUAUUCUUUGGGUCAUAACAAGCCCAUGGGUUGGAACUUCAUUAACCCAAAAUAAAAUUAAAUCCAAUUAAAUUCUUUUGGGAUAAAUGAAAACCUCAAAAUCUUUCUCAAUUUAUAUUCACAGUUGAAACCAUCCAAAAUUGCUUGUCAAUUUCUAUGGAUAUUAAUAAAUGGCUGAACCCAGGCCAUUAAAUUUCAUUUCUUGCUGAGUCCUUGCAAGAAGACAAGCUAUAUUUAUGGUGAUAAAGUGAGUCAGUGACAUCUUAAUUUAUCAUUAUUUCGAUCAAUUUGAUUAAUUUUAACUAUUAAUAAUACGUAUAAUAUUUUUAAAAUAUUUUGCUUAACGUUUCAUUAACAAAGCAUAAAUGUUUUUAAUUUAAUCGUGUAUAUAUAUAUAUAUAUUAAAAAAAUUAAUAAUAAAUAAAUGUAUAUUUAAAAAGUAUAAAUACUCAUGAUCGAUUUUUCAAUCGAUAGAAAUAAUCAAAUAAAUCUAACUUUAUAAUCAAUUAGUAUCAAAAUAGAAAAAUUUGAAUCGAAUUAAUUAAGUUCAAUCAAUUUUGAUAGAUUAUUUUGAUUUGUAACAUAAUACUCAUUUUAAACAAAUUUGAUAAUCACUUUUGGUAAUCAUCUGGUUGCAUAUCAAUUGGUCAAUGCAUGAUUUUAAUAUGGGAUUAAAAGCUUGGAAAAUAAUGUGGUUUUACUCAAGAUUAAAGCGUACGCUAUUUAACCAAAACAUGACACACAUGUACAUGUACAUGUAUGAUAAGCUAUUAAACUUCUCUAAUUUAUUGUCCAACAAAGUCAACUAAAUCAAUUCAGAUACUAAGGCUAGACUUAGUUGGAAUUGGGAUAAAGUUCAUCCUCAAAUAAUUUAGUUAUACUAAGGCUGCUUAAAAUAUGUAGGCGCCAACAUUGCAAUUGCAGCAUACGAUUUGAUGGGUCUCUUUCACAAUUAAUGGAGUGAAAAAAAAUCAACUCCCAAGUUUGUUCAAAUUUGUAAACAACAAGUUACAAAGUCACGAAACUAGUGAUUUUCGCCUCGACAUACUUAUCAAGGUAGAUCAAAUGUGGUGACAGGGAUUAACGAUCGCUAUCUCUUUAUUUUUAAUUUUAUUCAAAUCAAAUCAUUAACUUAAUUUAUAAUAUUAUAUAAUUAUCUUUUAAUCAUCUUUCACAUAAAGUACUAAAUCUGAUACUCAUACUCAUAAAAGAUCACAUUACAUCAAAUAGUAGAGUAAAUGAAGCGAAUUAGAAAUUGGAAAACUGCAAAGUGAGUUGGAAGAGGAACACCAAAAAGUCAUUUACCAAAUCAAUGCAUUUUGUCAACCUUGGGCUAUAAGUAAUGUACUUUUCAAUAGUGAGGCGCCUCCCACCCCUUUUUAGCAACAAUUCUUGGAGGCAAAAUACGUGCUUUUCAUACAUUUACAUAAAGGCAGCAAACAAAAUUAAAGCAAAUAAUUGUUUUUUUCUUUGUGCUAGGACUUCGAAAAUUCGGAAUAUCCAUUUUUUAACUUUUUUUUCCCGAUGUGGCACUCUGACAUUGGUUAAAGUCAUUCGAUUUGUACAGGUGGCGCCGUCCACACCUACCAAAAGUGACUUCGAGGGGAAGGCUCGAAUCAGACAGGGACCACGACGCGGCGCCAUGCAACUUUCUGAGAUGCCGUGGCUCCGCGUGCUACUGUUCCUUCGUUUUCUACCCUUUUUUUUUUCACUUUGACAGUGCCUGCUUCAGCCGGUUACCUCUUUCCCAUCACAGCGUCAUCAUUGGCCGCGUACCCGUUGAGGUAACCAUGUUUGAUCUCCUUCAAGUCCGGAGCGUGUUCCGACACGCGCCACACCUUGACGGACUUGUCCAGGCUGCCACUGUAAACAAUCCACUUUCGAUCAGCCUUGGUUGAUGUUUGGUGGUCUUCUUCAACGGCUAGGCAUUUGACGGGGCCGGUGUGACCUGUUAAGACAGAAAGGCACGUGUGAAUUCCACCUUGUUCUCUUCUCCACACGCAUAUGCUCUUAUCGGCUGACCCGCUAAACACCAAAUUCCCGGCUGUCGCCAAGCACAGCACUGCCAUUUUAUGGCCCCUAAGGACCCCGCCAUGUGACAGGUGCUUUUCACGUUCCCAGAAGUUGACAAGCCCAUCAGACGAUCCGCAAUACAGCACAGCUGAUUCUUGGCUCACAGCCAGUGCUGUCACAGCGUUUUCUUGCUUCAACAACAAUUGAACCAGGAAAUGUUGGGUCCCUUGCCCCUGCAACUCUCUCUUCCAUACCUUGACUGUCCCAUCUGCCGACCCCGUAAAGACCAGGCUAUCGAAUCCUGCCACGACAGAAUUUAUGGCGUCAUCAUGAGCGUCGAUGGAUUCCAAGCAUUUCGAGUUCGCCAGUAGCCAAACUUUCAAGGUUUUAUCCCAAGAUCCUGAGUAUAACAACCCAAGCUCUUCGUUCAAGCUCAAGCAAGAAACAGCGUCGAAGUGCUUGAUUCGCAGAACGCUACGUUUCCUCCGAACUUCAACGUAGUUCUUGGGUUUAACGGAGCUUUUAAUUAUAUCUUUCAAAGUUGGCAAACUACCGAAUCUUUUGUGGACACUAGGGUUUGUAGAUGAAACGUUCCAGACACGGAUUUUACCGUCUUGAUGACCAGUGAAGAUCCUAUCACCCAAAACAAUAAUGGCUUUAACCAAGCCACUUUUAGCUUUAAAACCUGAAAACUCCUUCAAGCUCUUCCACACGCGGAUGUUCUUGCUAUCAGAACCCGUGUAUAACAAAUCUCGAGAAGCAGCUAACGAAUAAAUAUGACCUUCUUCUCGUACAAUGGACCCAAUAAGCCCGUUUUGGCCAAAAUCAUUCUCGAGUGGAGAUGGGGCGAUCCAUGGAGAUUUGUUGUACGGAGAAGGUUGGUUCCAUGGUGACAUAAUGUAAGGAGAACCCUCGCCGCUUGUCGUUGUGCAGUUGGAAUUCCUCGGGCUUGCCAAAGAGGCACUGCUUUUGCUAUUGGGGAACACGUCUUCUACAACAACGCUAUUUUUCACAGAAAACAAAGAAGGUUCGGAUUGUUGGAAGAGAGAACUCAGAUUUGGUCGUUUAUGGAGGCUGUUUCGCUCCAUAACCAUCGUUUCACCACCGUCGUUUCUCAUCUGUUUCCUGAUAAAAUUAACAAUGAGAAAUAAACUGAAAAUUGGACAAGAAAUUUGAUAUAAAAUGAAGGGAUAGGAGAAAAAAUUUGAGUGUUUGCUUCUAAUUUCUUUGCUUUUGAUAGGAUUACAGAGACUGGAAAAAUGGUCGGGCAAAAGGAGUAUAUAUAUAGAUGGGAAUGAAUAGUGGUAGGUAAUCUGAGGCUCUGGGUUCUUGACACGUGGUGGGAUGAAUCGUAAUCAUUACGAACCGGCAAACCGGGUGUGCCCGUAACAAGGAAACUACAAUAAAGUUGGAAAUGAAAUUUCUCUUUCUUUUUGUUUUCUUUUUCUGUUCAUUGUAUUAUUGUUUUCUAGUGGUAGUAACAGAUAAUUGCUUGGAUCUUCGCAACGUUUAAUCUUCACACGUCAGGAUUAGCAAAAUUUUGAAAUUUAAAAAUAGAAAUUCCUUUGGAUUUCCCAAAGGAGAAAAAGGGUUUUGUUGCAUGUGAAAGGGUUAGGAGACUAGAAGUUUGACCAUAAGUUUUCAUAGUUAGGAAGAUAUUGACCAUUGAAAUUUUGAAAUAGUCAAAAACAUGCAAGUACGUAAUGCAAAACCCUUUCCUAAAAAAACAAAAACAAGUUGUUUCUGCCUUAAUUUCUCGUAGUGAUAUUUCGUAAUUAAGUGAUAAUUUAUAAAUAUUAUAUAUCGAUGAUAUAUCAAUAUAAAUUCAAUAACAUUUUUUACAUUGGGAAAGCUUAAUAGUAAAUCAAAGAUUCUUUAUUAAGAUAGGGUUUUCCUUUUUAGGAUUUAAAGUAAAUAAAGGAUGUUAGGCAAAGCUUUGUUUUCCUUUUUUUCUCUUUUUAAUUUUGGUUAUUCUUGUGUCUUUUUCCAAGCCUUUACACCCUUUCAUUACGAAGCAACAUUUCAUGUUAGCUUUAUUCUUGAGCAAUCUUUAAUGCUAUGAAAGUCUUGUAUUCAAGUUUAAGGCUUAGAGGUAGAUAGGACACGUAUAUAAUUAAGUACAUAAAAGAAUGGCAGAUUGAUUUAACUUUCAUUUCUUCAUAAUUACCUAUCUUGUUCUUGUAUAUGACUAAUUUUUUGUAAAGCAAACUUCAGUGCAUUAAUUAUAAUUAAACCAUACAAGCAUGCAAAUUACACCCUGUUACCGCCACUCUAAAUUAAUUAAUAAAAAACAUAAAAUCAUGAGUUUUUUGAAUACUAGAAUUGACAAAAUCAUCAAUCAAUUCAUUUGUAGUUUAAACAAUAUGAUAUAUUUGUCAAACUAAGUUUAUAAUUAAUUAAGCUAAUGUAUGGAUAGCAUCAUUUGUUCUCUCGAUUCUUACUCUCAUUCCUUAAUCCAUAUAAAGUUUGAACUAAUUAAACAAAUCCGAACAGAACCAAUCAUUUACAUGUGGGAUAACAUAGAAAGAUCCAUGGCUGAAUGGAAUGCAUGUGAGGUGGAGAUAUAUGAUCAUACAUGGAUUACUCUAGAUCAGUUGCCCAUGUUUAUCAGAAAUAAUGAUGCUUUAUCGGAUCGAGCGCUCCUUCAUACCCUAAUGUAACGUUCUGCUUGUCCUUUGCAAAGGUGAUUGGGAGGUUAUUUUCACUAUUAUUAGCACGCUGAUUGAAACAUCAAGCCAUUGUGUUUCAUAUCAGUAGUGCACCUUUUCACAAUAGUGGCAAACAAAGAAAUCAACUGAAAACAAAGCCUAUGGCGACGAUUCAAGCCAAUUAGAGACCCCCCCCCCCCCCCCAUGCUUUGCUUUUAGUGCCUUUGGAAGUAGACCCUCGCAGCUUCCAUCAGCAUAGAUUGAUCUGUAUCUGUACUAUAUUCUAUUACCACCAAAGGACAUGCCAUUCCACCAUAAAUUUUAGCUUACAAUUUUCUUCUUAUCCUUUUCUUAGGGUAAUUAUCUUCUUGAUCAAAUUCCUCGAAAAUAAUCAACAUAACAGAUCGGCAGUAAGUUUUUAAUAUAUAUAAACGUGAUAACCAUAGUUUCUCUUUUUGUGGAAACUUCAAUUUCGAGUUUCACAUGACAUAAAACGAUAGCAAUCUUGCUCAAGUACUCUCUAGCCGUGUACAAGUUCGGUGAACCACACACACUUUGUUGUUGUCCUGUAGAAAGUCCAAGGCUAACGAACCGUGUCGCCUGCGCCUCAGAAACCAUUUUUGGUUUUCACGUUCUCGAGCUGCUAAAAUUUGUCAAAGGAUCUUGAAUGGCUGCCACCUGCAAUUCCUGAUUGGUAGAGACAACGACCUUCUUCAUCCCAUCCCACGAACGCCAGCCGCCACGAAAUUUGUUCUUCACAUUAUUGAACUAAUUUGGGUAUGCUUUCUUCUUGCCACGUAAUCCAUGCUGGCCAAUGGCAUGUCUACAUGUGUCGUCUGGACAGGUCACACCACGUUAGCAUGAUGGCAUAUGUUGAGGUUCUUAAUCAACGGGGACAAAGAUACUUGUCUGGGGCAACCAAACAUGUGAAGCUAUUUGCCUUACGUCACUCCUAUAUAUAUGGGUAUAUAUACGCUACUUAAAAUUAAUAAUAUAAAGUUGCUGGUCGGCAUAACAUUGUAUAUCAUGUAUUUAUUCAAUGUAUAUCCUACUGUUGCUGGUAGUUGUGGCAUAUUAAUUUCCUUAUAGAAGCUUUUUUGAAAUUUUGGGUCACGUUUUUCUAAAAAAAUGGUUGUUGACUUUUAGCAGAACCAGCCAACUUGAAUUAUAAGAGUGAAAUUGACGUACCACGUAUAAAUAAAUGUUCACAUAAUUUUAAUUAUUACAACAAAAAAAAAAUAGUUAAAAUCACUUAAAGUACCUUCUCUCUCUCUAGAAGCGUUACGAUGUAGCAUAUAGUAUAUUUUCACCUAACAUUUUUGUUUUAUAAAUUCGUUUCUUUUUUUUUAUUAAUAUCUAAAUUUAAUUUUUUUUAUUGUUUGAAGCAGAAUUAACUAGAAGAGAUGAUAAGUUAAUACGUGUGCAUUAAAAGGUUUUAUAUUUUAAUCAAUUUUAUUCCUAGUGUAGGGACUAUACUAUAUAUGUUGUCAAUUUUAUUCACGGAAAAUUAAGUAUAAUUUAAGUUUAUAUCUAGGACACUUGGCUCCUGUUUAAAAGUCUAUAGCCAUUGCAAAAAGUAUAAAGGGCAAAUUCCCUAGUUAAAAGAGACGAAAUUCCCAUUUCGUUUUUAAACACUUAAUGUUGUUAUUUUUUAUAUUAUAAAUUUAUUUUUCAUAAUAUUUUUUAUAUUUAAAAACAUCGAACAUCUAUAUUAUAAUUUUUUCAAAAUUUUAUAUAAAAUGCAUUAAAAUAAAAAAAAAUCUUAGUCUGCGUAAAAAUUAAAGUAAAACACUUCAGAAGUCAAAUUAAAUAAAGUCCUAAAUAGAAGCUUAGCUCAUGCUUGUCUGCUAAUCAUCCAACCAAUGCAUUUCCAGUCUGCUAAUCAAAGGAUAUCCCCAAGAAAAUGGAAAGUUGAAAUUGGGAGAAAAAUGGAUCUGAAAGAUGGCAAGUGCCAUCUGUUUUAUUUUACGUAGAUAAUUUAAUGUAACAAAUGUCAUCAUUUCCUUAUCAAAAUCCUAGUUUUCCAGUACCUUUCGGGCUGUCCACUGAUCAACAAACACCUUCCAAUUGCUUGGCAAAAUAUAGCAAGGUUUACCCAGAUCAGAUGAUCAUCCCCUAAAAAAAAAUAUAAUUAGAUGUUGAUUUUCUAUUGGGAAUUAAUUGCUUUAUUAGUUUACCAAAUUAUUUUAUUUUUUGUCUGCUCAUCAUCAAACACGUUUCCUGAGUGAUGAACAAGCCCCCAUAUCAUUUAAUGGCUAUAAGAUCUUUUUAUGUCAAGAAGUAAUUAAUAAGAUUACAUAAGCAUGAACCUGAGAAAAUUUGGAUUCUAGCAUGUGGCAGUCAGCUACUAAAUUAAUCGAUAAUAAUCAUCUUUAACUUUAAUUAUUAUUUAUAUUUUUAUAUAUUUUUUGAAGAUCACCUUUUGUAUUCCAAGAUUAAUGAAGUCAUAAACAAGAAGAAUUGGUAAGAAGAAAACAGCAUCGAGGAUUAAGUGCAUAUUAAAGAAUUGGAUUAUUUUUUUAUUGAAUUUAUUGUACGCUAUUAUAACUUGUCUGAGGUGACUGAACAUGUUCGAUGUUCCCGUACUGUGAACAACAUCACAAGAAAUUUAGAUAUUUUCGAUGAAAUAUUUUUUAUUAAAAAAAUUAUGAUAUUCAAAGAGUGAUAUCCAUAUUUAUUCGAAUUCAAAACAGAUAUUAAAUAAUUGUGUCUUGAAAAUACUUAUUAAACAAUACGUAUUAUCAUUUUUAAUUAUUGAUUAUUUUUUUAUUAAUUUAUAAUAAAAUUUUAACAAAAUAUUGAUAAAUUUACCUACAAAAUUUAUUAUAGUUCCAUAAUGUCUUGUAUAGGAUCCAAUUACGUAACCAAGGAAUGAAAAUUAUACACUUACAAGUGUGAAGGAAAAGUAUAAUAUGAACAAAAUGGUGGCAUGUGAAACGUGUCACUAAUUACUGGGAGGAUUUGUCUACGCUAUGCAAAAUUAUCAAACACGCUUCACUGCUGCUGAAAUUCGAUGCCAACUAAUUAAGAAAUUUCAGUAAUUCAUAGUCAGCUUCGGCUGCUAAUCUCAAUCUGCCAAUCCAAUCCGAUGAUGGAUUGCCGUGGCUGUUUGAUCCAGUUCAAGAAUGCUUGUUCAUGACUAUGCCAAGUGCUAACAUACUGAAACUUGGCAAUUAAGUUUUGAUGACUUAUAACCUCUGUUCUUGUCCUUGAAACAGUGACGAUCCGUGAUUAAGGAGGACAUGUACUUCUUUGAAAUCUUUUUCAAACCUUUAAAGACAGAUCCAUGAUGGGUUAUGGGUGACUUACAGCCACAGGGUUAGUAUUCAUGCUCUUUGGGAAGAACAAGUGUAGACUUCAAUGACAGUAACAUCAUGCUUACUUUAAAGACUCUCACUCUCAUGGCCUCACCCCAGAUAUCUUUUCUGCCAGAACCAGUCUUUUCCCAUUGCUUCCGAACAAGAAAAGAGGUGCAAAUUCGUUUGCAGGUCAGCCCAUCACAAUUAUGUCUUGUGUCUUUCCUUCUAAUGGAAGUACUAUACUACUAACAUAGUUUGCUACUGUUCCAAAAUUGCUUUUCUUGUUCUAGAAAUGGACGAUGGUCGAUGCAUUUGCCAAUAACGGUGACAUGAAAGAGACAAAUGAACAUUAGACAACAACAAAGCUAGCCCUACAAUUCGUCUACUCUUUCAGCAGUAAAGUGGCUAAGGUCCCAUCCCCAAUAAUGUCAAAAGUGCUGAUGCUACAUUGCCUCAAAAUAUUUUUUUUGUCUCCAAAUUAACCCAUCUCCCCCAUUCCGAUACGUAGACACUAUAAAAAAGAAAAAUCAUAAUAAAUUUUAUUAAUUAAAAAUAAAUGAAAAUAUAAACAAAAAAAGAAAAAAAACAAAAAAGAAGAAAAUGGGAGAGGGUACGACUGGCAGGGUGUGGACGCACCCUGCCAGGCACUUCCCUCACCCUGCCAGACACGAAAAAUUCACGUCUGGCAGGGUGGUGGAGGCACUACACUCGACCAAAAGCUGAGUGUAUAAAGUCCCACUGUAGAAUCAGCAAGCGGAGGAAUCAAAAAUCAGAAAAACCCAAGCAGCAUCAAGAAUAAAAAAUCCCUAGUAAGCUUCCUAGCAGCCACAAAUCCACAACCAAAAAACAAAAAAAAUCAUCAAAAAAUACAAUGAGAAAUGAGGGUUGAUAGCUCGUUUUAAAGGGAAGCUUUGGAUGGGGUUUUAGUACUGUCGGCUGUGGGAGUUGGAUUUGGGUUUUGGGUAGUUUAAAUCGGGGGGCAAAAAAAUCUGAAACCAAGAAACAACCUGCAAGCCAAAAAAUAAUCGAAAAAAUAAAAAAUCCUAGCCCCUAGCAGCCGAAUACCACAACCAAGUUUUUUCUACUCUUCUAACAACCAUAAUCAACCACAAAUACAAAAGAAUAUACCAAACAAUAUCGAAAAAAUACAAAAAAAUGUGUGCAGUGAGAAUGUCGCCGAUUAGGGAGUAAAUUAGAGAGAGAGAGUUGAGGCUCGGACGACUACCGGCUAGGGAGAAACCCGAUCAGUGCCAAGGAGGAAAGCCGGCAAAGCAAAGAGAGAGAGAGAGAGAGAGAGAGAGAGAGAGAGAGAGAGAGAGAGAGAGAGAGAGAGAGAGAGAGNNNNNNNNNNNNNNNNNNNNNNNNNNNNNNNNNNNNNNNNNNNNNNNNNNNNNNNNNNNNNNNNNNNNNNNNNNNNNNNNNNNNNNNNNNNNNNNNNNNNNNNNNNNNNNNNNNNNNNNNNNNNNNNNNNNNNNNNNNNNNNNNNNNNNNNNNNNNNNNNNNNNNNNNNNNNNNNNNNNNNNNNNNNNNNNNNNNNNNNNNNNNNNNNNNNNNNNNNNNNNNNNNNNNNNNNNNNNNNNNNNNNNNNNNNNNNNNNNNNNNNNNNNNNNNNNNNNNNNNNNNNNNNNNNNNNNNNNNNNNNNNNNNNNNNNNNNNNNNNNNNNNNNNNNNNNNNNNNNNNNNNNNNNNNNNNNNNNNNNNNNNNNNNNNNNNNNNNNNNNNNNNNNNNNNNNNNNNNNNNNNNNNNNNNNNNNNNNNNNNNNNNNNNNNNNNNNNNNNNNNNNNNNNNNNNNNNNNNNNNNNNNNNNNNNNNNNNNNNNNNNNNNNNNNNNNNNNNNNNNNNNNNNNNNNNNNNNNNNNNNNNNNNNNNNNNNNNNNNNNNNNNNNNNNNNNNNNNNNNNNNNNNNNNNNNNNNNNNNNNNNNNNNNNNNNNNNNNNNNNNNNNNNNNNNNNNNNNNNNNNNNNNNNNNNNNNNNNNNNNNNNNNNNNNNNNNNNNNNNNNNNNNNNNNNNNNNNNNNNNNNNNNNNNNNNNNNNNNNNNNNNNNNNNNNNNNNNNNNNNNNNNNNNNNNNNNNNNNNNNNNNNNNNNNNNNNNNNNNNNNNNNNNNNNNNNNNNNNNNNNNNNNNNNNNNNNNNNNNNNNNNNNNNNNUAUGGCUAGAUUCAAGAUAUAGUAUAAGAUGUAAGAGGGUCGAAAUGGGAGACAUAAUAAACUUCAUUAGAGAAAUUGAUAUAAAGAAAUUAUGAAUGGAAAUGAAUGAAAAAAUAAAAAAAAUUGUGGUAAAAUUAAAUAUGUAAUUAUCAAAGUAUUUAAAGGAGAUAGUUUAUAAAAUAGAUGUAGCUACAAAUAAAGGAAUAAUGAGAACAAGAGCAAAUAGAAGAAUUAUUCAAUUUUAAAUAAGACAAGUAAACAAUACCGAUGAUGGGAUGAUUGGUCGGGACACGAAGAAUCGCAAUCCCGAGCUAAUUUUCCCUAGGUUCGAAAUCUGAAUUAAGGCUCCACCAAUACGAUGGGAGGGUCUUGAUUUUGAGAUUCCGAAAUUUUUAUAAAUAAAAUUUAACUAUACAAAAUUUAUUCAAUAAAAAUAAUAAAUAAAUAACAAUAGAUAAAAAAUGAUAAAAAAUAAUAAUAAUUCAAAUAUAUAGUAAAUAAUUAAUUUGUGAAAAUGCAAUAUACAUGACAUUAAAUAAAUAAUAAAAAAAAAUCUAAAACAACAACUAAUUUAAAAUUAAGCAUUAAAUAUCAAGUGGCACAAACUAUGAAUUAAUAAAUAUUAUAAAAAAAAAUGUGAAGACAAAGGUAAGAAAGGAAAAAAAGAAUUAAAUAUAGAUAUAUAAAAUAAGAUUUUAGGCUUUAGGUUUGGAUAAAAGAUUGCUUACGAAAAAAUAUAAUAAUAAUAAAAAUAUAAAAAAUAUAAAAUAUAAAAUUUUUGUCACUAAAGUAACAUGGAAUCAUAAACAAUUUAUUUAAUUAUAAAAGAAAAAUAUAAGAGUAACUUAGAAUAAAAAUGUAAGAUAUAAAAAAUAAUAAUUAGAAAUAAAAUAGAAAAUAUGAUAAUAAAGAAUAAAAUAAAAUAAAAAUUAUAAUCAAAUAAUAAAAAAUACAAAAAAUACUAAUAAAAUAGAUAAUUGCAUUAGCCUAGCAUAUAUAUGUUACAUCAUGUAUACCAUUGCAUAUAAAUAUUUCUGUUUUCGAGUUUAAGCCCGAUGAUGGGAUCUUCCGAGAAUUUUACGAAGGCGGGUAUCCCUAGAAAAGCUCCCUAGGUGAAGAGGUGUCCCCGGGUCUCACCAGUAUGAUGGGAGGGCUCAAAAAAUAUCUUUAAUAAAAGGCUUUUGCCCGAAUUAGAUUCAUUGUACACGAAAAUAUUAUUUUUAAAGAAAAACGUACGAUGACCUCGAUGAUGAGAAUUAUUCGUUAAAUUUGUGAAGGUGAGUUUAUCGGAUAAUUCCCUAUGUGAGAGAACAUCUUGGAUCCCACCAGUAUGAUGGGCGGAUUCGGGAGAACGUCCUUGAUAAAAGGUUACUCGUCCGAUAUUUUUAUCUCACGUCAUGCAUCUUAUCUUGCCUCACAUUUGCAUUCCAUUUUAGGUUGAAUAGUAGAUAAAAUAAGUGAAUAAUAACUAAGGAAGUAUAGUGAACUUAAAAAUUAAAACCUAAUAGGAUAAUUUAAGAAUGGUACUGUUCAUGGAACAGGUGUCCCGGGAGUACUAAUUCUUCUUCGAACGCAACCGUACUCUCGAGCCUAAAUCUAGAAAAUCAUAGACCAGUUAAAGAUUCUUUUCAGUGGACUUAAAAUUAAUUUAAGACUUUAUCGAUUAGAAUCGAGUCAAUCGAUGAUCAAUCACACAUAAUAAAAAAGAUUAAUAAUGACUCUUAAUUUUUUAAUAUUUUUACAUCACGUUUGACAGUCGAAUUUUUAGGCCCGCAUGUUACGACACGAUCCCUUUGCUUUUUCUUAAGCAAAAUGGAAAGGACCUGGCAGGCAUUCUUCCAUUAUUGAUCCCCGUGAAUGCAGAAGAUGAAAAGAAAAUAUCAGAGAUCAAUGGUAUCAACCGAUCUAGAAUUUCUAGUACAUAUAGCAGCAAUUGGGAAUCCCAUUUUAGUGCUGUACACUUGGCUUUCUUCUGCAGCUAACUGGACCACCUACUUGAAUUUCUCGAGUCUGAGAGAGUAACAUCAGAGUAUGGCAGCAGACAAAUAUAACAUCAACAACUUCCAACCACAGUUAGUGCUGUACACAUGGCUUGCUUCUCUUGCAUCAUGUCAGAGCUCACAAACAAACAAUUUUCAAGCAAACCACGGACUAACCAACAGCUGCCAGCAGACAUGCAGUCUUCUAGCUAUCACUGUCAAAUCAAACAUCUCUUAAACUCGUAUGCAUCAUUGCUAACAAGAUCAAGAAAGGGAGAUUAUUGGUUGAUUAAUUUCGGGUUUCCUCCUUUUUCAUGCAUUGCCUGGCGGCUUUUGGAUAAUCUUGAGCGCAAGUCAUAAGGGAUUUGACUCUAGCUCAGGGACUAGUAUGCAUUGUAUCUGUUUACGUGUCAGCGAACCUGUUCACAGACAUUGGAUUAAGUUCUUAAGGAGGUUCCCAACGAGGACAGUUGUUGAACAAACCCACCUUUCUGAGAUGGGUGUUCAUUGACAAAAUCAAUAAUUGUGAUUCCAGAACCACUUCUGAUUAAAAGAAGCAUGGCCCAGGACGACAAACGUAGCAGUCUAGCGGCUUACUAGGUUUAAGGGGGAACUUGUCGAAUCAGAAAUGAUAGCAUUGGUUGUAAGUCAUACAAGCAUACAUUAGUUCAAGAAGAGCAGGUUUGGGUAAAGAAAAAGAAUUAACAGACAUAAACAAACAUUAUUAAUUUUAUACUUUAUUUAUCUGAUAUUGAACUCAAAUAAUAUUUUUGUGCUUCGAGAGGUGAUGUAAAUAUUUGUUGGGGUGAGCAUUUGGUUAGUUCACUUGGUUUAGUUUUAUAAUUUUAAAUAUCGAAUUUUUAUAAAAAAUAAUCAAAAUCAAUUGAAUUAUAAUAAAAAAUAAAAAUAAUCAAAAUCAAUUUAUUUUGAUCGAUUUGUUUGGUUACUUCGAUUUGAAUAGAAUUGAUUUUGAAGUUGAGUUCUAUUUUAAAAAUAUUAAUAAUAUUUAUAUAAAAGUUAUUAUUGAUAGUCAAUUUUUUGUUCGGCGUGGUUAUAAAUUUUAGAUUCUGAAAAUCGAUUGAUAUAAUUGAAUAAACUGUCUUUCAUAAUUAAUUAAUACCAAAUUCAAAAAAAUUGAUAGAAAUUAAUCGAGUUCAAUCAAACCGACUAACGUUCACCCGAGGCCCAAUAUUUCAUUUCAUCCAAAGAUUUCAGUAAAGGAAAGAAGGAAAAUUAAGGUUUAAGGGCUUUCAGUCUCAUGAUCAUUUUUGAAACAGUUGGACCUUUUAAUUCCCAAUAAAAGCCCAAUAAUUUACUAGGAUUGGGCUAAGCCCUCUUCACCAAAAACAGCCCAAGAAGAACUUUGACGCCUCGCUCCCCCAGGCCCGCAAAGCUACCUUGUUCUUCAAGUUCAGAGAGUAAAAUAGCCGAGGAAGGUGAAAGCUUGAAUCGAUUCUUCAAAAGAGAGGAAAGAGCUGCUUCAAUUCCAUAAAAAAGCAAGACGGAAACACUAAUCUACUCAUAGAAAUGGACUUCGUUACUGAACAAGGCAAACAGCCGCACGAAGAAUGCUCUACUUUGCUUCUGGUUCGCUCAUCUUUUCACUCCCCCCCCCCCCCCAACCUUAAUUAAUUCUUGAUUUUUUUAAUUAUUUUUUUUUGUUUUAGCCGGCGUUGUCGAUUGGGAAUGUGGGGCAGUUGGCAGUAGAUUUAUUAGUAUCAUCAAUGAAAGCAGAGAGAAUUGGGUACUUGGAUGAUCCUUUUGUGCUUCCCUGUGUUGGCAAUGAUGCUUAUGGGCCUAUUCCUUGCGGCGAGCUUGCCCUCCCUCUUGAAGGUGCUCUCUUUUACUCACAUUUUCCUCAAAUUCUUUGUUUUAGGAAUUUUGGGUUAAUGUAUUUGAACUCAAAUUUUUGUUGUUUCUUGAUUUUUUUUUUCAGCUUACCAAUCUUCUUCUAAUGGACUCACUCUUCUUCAACAGAGGUCUCCGGUUGUUAAGGUAUUGCUUGAAUUCAUAGUUUUAUUGACUCGAUUAUGAUGCACCUAAAUACUGGCAUGACCUUUAUGAUGGUUGAGUACUCGUGAUGGAUCUAGGGCCCUAUGGAAUCUUUUUCUUUUACUUGUCUUAACAUCCUGAGAAGUUACAAGUUUUCUUUUUGAGUAUGUGCAAUGAAUUUUUGUGUGAGUACUAUAAUCUUGAAGCUUCUCUGUUAAAGUGCUUCCCUUAAUAACUGAUUUAGAAUUUGAUGAUUUCACAAGCUAGUUUUCCUUGCUUAAACUGAACUAGAAGGAGAAGAGCUAUUUGAUGCAUAGUUAAUUUGAAUAUUGAUAGAAUUAUUUUUUUUAAAAUGGUCGUCUAUGCAGGGGAUGAUGGUUGAAUUUGCCAAAAACUUGGCAAAUUUUGCUGCUGCAAGUGGAAAGAAGCAUGUUGUUCUGCUUUCCAGUUUGGACUUUGGAAAAUGGCAGAAAAUAGACAUGUCAAGGUAUUUCAAGCUGUAAUUUUUCCUCGGUUAGUAAUUAAUAUAAUGUAUUUAGAUAACAUCAUUAUUUCCAGUUUCAAUGCAACCAUGCAUUUCUGGAUCUUUGAGAAUAUAGAUUAGUUGAUUUACUUCUGCUCUGGGAAAUCACCUUGGCAGCUGGUUAUGCCCAUUGUUCACCAGCAAUUAAGCAUUUUAUCAAUGCUGAUCUUUUGGCUGUGAUUUCAGUGGUCUGCAGAUAUAUUACGUAUCCAGCACCAAUCCUGAUGGAAGAGAUGAUCACUGUGAACAACUUGGAUGGAAAAGGCUGCAAGAAUACAAUCCUGCUCAGAGAUGUUGGAAGCAUCUUAGCACCUUAGCUGAAGGAAACACUAUGCUGGAAAACAAUUUGCCUUUUGAAGAUGAGCUGGAAGAGGAAGAUUAUUACCCAAGUUUGCCUUUUGCAGCACUUUUUUCUUGUUUCAAGGUAUUCUUCUUUUAAAUGCAUAAUUGGUUUGUACUGAACGUUGGGUGAGUCUGCCUUUUGCUGCAGUUUUUCCUUUUUCUUUUUUUGACUUUGCAUUAGUCCAGAGUUAAUUUGAUUAUUAAGUAACAUGCAAAAGUUUCCAUAUAUGAUGACCCCUACAUUUUGUCUGUGGCUUACUUUCUAAUUUUCGCUAUAGGCCAAAGGAUUGAAGGUUACAUGCUUAUUAUGCUAUUGUUCAGAAGGGGACAAUAUGCAGGAUGCUUUUAAUUUGGCUGAGGCAGCAUGCAGUCUAUUGGGGCUUAAUCCUAGUACUUUUCAUAGUAAGUUUCUUUUAUACUUAAGAUAUUGAUAUUGCCUGCAACAGCUACUCUGUGACAUCUUUUGACUUAAUAGGUAAUGGGAAUUAGGCCAGAAUUGAUAUACUGUUGAAUAGGACCCUUCCACCCUUGAUCAUGAGCAUUUUCUAAAUAAUUCAAAGUUUACAAAUGUAUUUUUUCACCAUUGUUGGUGUUUUUUUAUUAUGAACGUCAUCAAGUGCACUUCGUUGUAAGAAUAUCCUGUAUAUAUUACCUUUUCAUUUUCUUGCACAUGCUUUAGACUGCUAUGAUGAUACUUGACAUGAAGCAUCUCAAAUACAUCCUUGAGAAUUUAAAUAUAAGGGGUGUUCUCAGGUCUAUAUUUCUUGAUGCAUGGUUUCUUCUCUUUGAACAUUCACCUUGGAUUAUCUUUCACGGAAAGUUUUUGCUUUAGACAUGGAGGCAUAAUCUUUAAUCAUGGUCUUAGAAAUAUAGCAGACACUCUACCAAGAAUCUUAUACUUCAACUUUUGGUUUCUGGUAUGAAAACUUGCACUUAGGAUAAGGUUUUUUGAUACGGUUUCACAUCAGGAAAAAGGGUUUUAGCAUGAUUGUCUUGAAAACACUUCAGCAAUGCAUCAUCAUUUUGUGCAUUAUCAAAGUUCUCUUGGAACCGUGUGCACCUGCUAACGGACAUACAUCUCCAACGAGUGUUUCCUCUGCAACGAGAGAUAAUCAUUAAGCUGGAGGAAUAUGUCAAUUGCUUUAUUUUUAUUGUCUCAAUUUUCUUCAAAAUAAUAAUUGUUUCUGUUUUUCAACCAUGACUCUGACAUUAUCAUCGACAAUAUUUCUUUCUGAUAUAUGAUUCAACUGUACUAAUCUCUGAACUUGUUUCACUGGAAGAGACUAAUUUACCUAGGUGUUCUUGCUUUUAGCGAUGACCAUUUUUUUCCAUUGCUAUCCUUUUUUGGUCUCUUAACAUUUGCAGUAAGAAUUCGAAAUACGCACAAGUUUUUAUUUUAUUGUAUUAUCUUUUCAGGUAAUGGGAGUGGUAGUUGGCUAACCCCUUUAUCGUGGCAGACCGUCUAUGGACCACCGCCAGAUAUGUCAAUCUUUUAGGCUGGAGCUUAUCAUUUAUAGUCAACUUGACAAUUUGAUCAUCUGUAAAACGUUUGGUUUUGUUAGCAGAUAAGUAGAGAUAGUGUUGGCAUUGAUGGAACAAGGCCUGAGAAAAAUGCCCAACUGAUUACAUUUAUGUCAAUUUUUCUAAAAUGUUAAAACUUUUGCUCAGAAAUGGGUGAAUAACAGCCAGGAAUCUUUUUUUUUUCCCUCUUUGUCAAAUUUUUAUAUUCUAAAUUCCCUGAAAAAUCUUUCAUUUUGCGAAAAUUAGACAUGACAAUUCAUAUUUGAGUGUUUUGACUGUAUCAUAUUAUGAAUUAAACAUAUCAAAAUCUUAAUCAUGAAUAAGAAUAAGUUUAUUAAACAUAUAACAUGACACCAUAUAUCUAUUAACAUGACAAGCACGUGAGUGAAAUGUUGACUACUGUUUCAACGUUAUUGGUUUGACCGAAGGAUAUGCAAUUUGCUUUAUAUUUUCGGCCCGACAUCUGCUAAAAUUUUGGAAGCCCUUUUAAUCAUGUUCAUUUUUACAAUUAAUUUUUUUUAUUUUUUAUUUUAACAAAAAUUAAAUAAUAUCAUAUUUAAUAUCAAUGGAUAUUUUUUAUAUAUUUUUGUCGAUAAGAUAUAUGAUAAGAUAAUAUACUGAUAUAAAUUAUUACGUGAUUCUGUUAACUUUAUUUACUUAACCGAAUUACAAAACAACAGCUUGUAAUUUAAUUUUUGAAAAGUAAAUAUCAAAAGACAUUAUCAAAUAAAAUUUAUGGAAGGCAAAAUAAUUAAAAAAAUGAAGCAAAUGUUUGUUAGCAGACAGGAAUCUCUCAUACAAUCUUGGAAAGAGGUACAGCACAUGCAUGCAUUAAGCUAUUAAUCAAUAAUGAGAUGGGCAUUUUGACCCUGGAAAUCCAUAUGUGUACAUGGCUUAGCUAUGCCAAAUGUUGCAGGCAAAAUCCUCAGGAAUUUCGAAGUUUGAACUAAGCUAGGAUGUUGUUUGAAAAGAACAGCAGGAAGAUAUUCUGCAUUUACCAUUCUUACCAAAUAAAGUUACCCCAUUUUAACCAAAUCUGAUAUUACUUGCAAUGUACAUAAACUAAAGUCAUUUGGCUAUUAAUUGAUGCAUUAUCUCUUGAUUAAAGAGCAAAAUUCAAAUUCUCUUUUUUUUUAUUAUAUAAAAAAAAAACCAAAGUCAUUUUCUCACUUGCCAACCUUACAUAUAAUUUUAAAUUCCCUGGUUGAAUUUUUACCCUGGAUUUGUUAAAAUCUUGAGAAAAUUUUGAUGACUCACGCAAUUUAUAACUUGAAUGGUCCAAGACUCCCCAAAGAAGUACUGCUCCAAUUAUGAAUGCUGAGCAAUGUAGCAUAACUUUCACGUGGUUGUCUUGUCUGCUUCCUGCAGGUAUAUUAUUAGAGGUUACAGAGCCGUAGAUCUCAAAAUCAUUUACCUGAUAAACUCAAGCCCCCAACAAUGUCUUCCUCUUCUUCACAGCCCCCGGAGCUUCCACUGAAACCGGUUCCUGGAGACUGGGGGCAUUUCUUCUUUGGUGCAAUUCGAGACCGUUUAGCAUACUUCUACCAUGAAGGCAGGGACAAGUUCUUCGAGAACCGAAUCCAAAAGCAUCAAUCCACAGUCUUCAGAAUCAAUAUGCCUCCUGGCCCUUUCAUUUCCUCCUCCGCUCAAGUUAUUUGUCUUCUCGAUGCUAUCUCCUUUCCUGUCCUCUUCGACAGUUCCAAAGUCGAAAAACGUGAUGUUCUUGACGGUACUUUCUUGCCUUCCUUGGCUUACAGCGGUGGCCAUCGAGUCUGUGCUUACCUUGACCCUUCCGAGCCAAAGCACACCUCUCUGAAAUCCUUCUUCUUGGCUACUCUAGCGGCCCGCCAUAAUAACUUCAUACCCCUCUUUCGAACAGGCUUAUCAGAGCUUUUCAACGAGCUUGAAGCUAAAAUAUCUAGCAAAAAAGAAGCAUAUUUUAACACCCUGUGCGAUACCAUGUCUUUCAACUAUGUUUUUCGCCUCCUCUGUGACAAAAACCCGAGUGAAACACGGAUAGGAUCCAAAGGACCAAAACUUGUUGACAAAUGGUUAUUGUGUCAGCUUGCUCCACUUGGAUCACUAGGGUUGUUGCCAAACUUUCUAUGUCUUAUCGAAGAUCUUUUGUUGCGUACAUUUACUUUCCCAUUUUUUCUAGUUAAAUCUGAUUACAAGAAACUUUACGAUGCCUUCUCUGAGUUCGGAAGCUCAGUCUUGGAUGAAGCUGAAAAAUUCGGGAUAGAAAGAGAUGAAGCCUGUCACAACCUGGUUUUCCUUGCUGGUUUUAAUGCUUAUGGUGGCAUGAAAGUUCUGUUCCCUGGCCUGAUCAAGUGGGUUGCAUUAGCAGGAGAAAAGUUACACAAGAGGCUAGCUGAUGAAAUCAGGACCGUUGCCAAAGCUGAAGGUGGUGUCAGUUUCUCUGCCUUGGACAAGAUGGUUCUGACCAAAUCAGUGGUGUAUGAAUUUCUAAGGAUUGAUCCUCCCGUUCCUUUCCAGUACGCCAAAGCCAAGGCUGAUUUGGUAGUCCAAAGCCACGAUGCAGCCUUCGAGAUCAAGAAAGGGGAGAUGCUCUUUGGGUAUCAGCCGUUUGCCACCAGGGAUCCCAAGGUUUUCGAGAACCCGGAGGAGUUCGUGGCAGAUAGGUUCGUUGGGGACGGAGAGAAGCUUCUGAAGUAUGUUUAUUGGUCGAAUGGGCGUGAGACCGAGGAAUGCACGGCGGAGAACAAGCAAUGUGCCGGCAAAAAUCUGGUGAUGCUGCUGUGUAGAUUGUUGCUGGUGGAGCUUUUCCGUCGUUAUGACACGUUUGAGGUUGAGGCUGGGAUGUUCAUGUUCGCUGCAUCAGUGACGUUCAAGUCGUUGACUAAAGCCUCAAGCACUUGACACCAUACCGAUGGUCGCAUGAUCAUCAUAAAUUAACACUAGUCGCAUUUUAUUUGAUUACCCUUUUCAUGUUGAUUUCUCAGUUCUACAGUGUUUAUGUCCUAUACCUAUCUGUAAGUGGUAAUAAAAUUUUUUAAUUUAUCUCUUAAAACUGUUACCAAUACUUCGAAGAAUUGUAGCUGAUUCAAUUUGGGCAUGAAUUUUUAAUUAAGCAUAGGAUUUAUUAUCUUAAAAAAAUAGAAAAAUCUUUUAAUUUCAUAUAACUUCACAUAGACCGACCCUUCCACAUGGGGUGAGUAAAUGAGCAUUCACAGCCAACCACCUCGGUUUUGGAUUUUCCGUAUAGAAAACGACAUAGAGUUUUGGUAAUCGUAUGAUGUUUUCUUGAUCCAAUGAAUAGAAGAAAUAAUUAAGAAACAAUAAUAUUUUAAUUAAAUGUACAUAAAAUGUCAUGGGUAUUGUGAAAGGUCUUCGUAGAUGUUGACAAGUUGCAAAAGCUGAUCCAGAAAAUCAGAUUCAAUCAGAAAUUUUAUGAAAUUUGAUAGUUCUUGCUUACUUUUGUUUUUUAUUACUAGAAUAUUAUCUGUGUGCAACACAUGGACCUCUUUGCACCCCGUCUCUUUUGCUUCAACAUCUUUUCUCUUUCUCUCUAUUUGCCCUCGACGUGAUUCACUGACCCUUUUGCACCACUCUCUUUCUCUCUCUUUACCUCAACAUCUUUUCUCUUUUACUCUCUUUGUCCUCCACACGAUUAAUUCUAAAAAUCUCAAACUUUUUUUUAAGUAUUUACAAAAAUCACAAUUUUUCAUAUGACAAUUUAUGAGAAUAAAAAUAUGAUAAAAUAUCUUCAAAUUAUAUAAGUUAUAGAUAAAAGUAAAAAAUUUAUUUUUUUUUCUUUCAAUAUCUAUAAUUUAAUGCCAACACAUCAUCUUUACCAAUUAAAAAAUGUCCCAAACUCAAUACAAAAGUGAUACCCAAACUAAUGGGAAGGAUGGGAUUUCUUUAGGCUUUUGUGCUAGCAUUAAAGUAUUGAGUAAAUUACAAAGCAAAAAAAAUCAUGUUAUAUAUUAGAAAAAAAAUCAUGCUUUAUAUUAGAGUCAAAACAAAUUUAUUUUUAAAUCAUUUACAUAAAUUAUGAUUAAUUUCAGUUGAGAUAGGACCUAAUUUACCCUAACAUGAGCCUCCCUGUGGAAUUUCUCAUUUCAAAAGCAAAGAAACUAGCAAAGAAUCCUCUUUCUCCUUGGAUAGCAGUCAAAUCUUUUCUAUUAUUUUUUGAGUAAAAUACUCUAUAAUUUUUAAUUUUUAAUCAUAAUUAUACAUGAAUUUACUAGUUUGUGAAAUGGAUAUGUGCUCUCUGUUGAGCACCCAUCUAUACUCUCUAAGGUUCCAGAGGGCACCUAUCUAUGCUCCUUGGGAACAUGCCAAUGGUGCUCCCUAGGGAAUACUAAAACAGUGUUCCCAAAGAGCACCAUGUUGGGUGCUGGGACUACUCGAGAGAGGGUUUUUUUUUUAAUAAAAAAAGAUUAAAAAAUAAAAAUUAUAAUUUAUAUAAUAUAAUAAUUUUUAAAAUUAAUAAAAGAUAAAAAUAUUUUUUAAUAUUACUAUAUUAUUAAAUUAAAAAAAUAUUAAUGAGGGACUAACAACUGAAUUUAUAUAUAGUUAAUAAAAAAUAUUUUUUAAAAAUAAAUUUGUAUAAAAUUACAACUUAUUAUUAAUUAAGAGACACGGAUAUUUUACCUUUAGUUUUUUAAAUUAGCUUUGGCUAGGUGUCUCCUGGUGUCUAGUUUGGGUUGCAGGAAUUUGACAGAAUAAAUAAAGACUAACACUAACUGGCCCACUUAAUCACGUUUUCCAGGUCCUGAAAGAGGCUCCCUAACCUAUUGUAGUGUUAAUUUCCAGGAAGAGGGAAAUUUACAGAAGGGCCAAAAGCAAUAGUUGGUGGUCGGUCCCAUCAAGCAAAUCAAACUACAAUAAUUCAGGCUUUGGUUUGUCAUUUGUGAAUGGCACCAUAACUUUGUGUUUCUUUAUUUCUGUCAGCAUGUGUAUCUUCUCUUUUCAACCAUGUUUGCUAGGAAAGAAACAAUGGUGAAUCGACUGAAUUCUACCCAAAGAAAAAUUUUACUGUUUAGUAAUCUUGUUAUUUCAUGUGUGGGAAAGAAAACAAAAUUUUCUUCAGAAGUUUUAGAUGAAGGAUUAUCUCUCUUACUAAGCUAGCUUGGUAGCAAGAACCCUAACCCGUAAGACCGCGUGACAUGAACCCAGACUUUAGGUCGUGUUUGGUAUUUUAUCGUUGUAAUGUUUUACAUUAUUUAAAUUAAAAAUUUUAUCUUAAUAUUAGUAAAAAUUAUUCAUUGCAAGCAAGGGAUGGAAUACUUGCAGAAGACUUUUGAACAAGAUAUUUCUUUUUAAUGCAAACUGAUAUAUGAACACAUUAUAUCUUUAUUGUAUAGUUCUUUUCAGGGUCCAUAUGUAUCUUUAUGGUUGAUGCUGAUAAGUGAUAAGGCUUGUGAAUCAUUCUCAAGAGACCAGCAAAGAGAAGAAAUUUGACAAUCAAUUUGAAUCUUUCAAAGAAGCAUUUAAUUUUUUUUUUUGAAGUGAAUAAGGUCCCCCCCAAUUAUUGAAGGGACAUUUAUUUCAUUAAUUUGGAUGGUUUCUUUUAUCUCUUUUUUUUUUUUUGGUUUGAAUUAUGACAACUUAAUUUUAUUAAUUCAGUAAUCAGUUCAUAUAGUUUAUAAUCAUGUGUCAAUUUAUAACAUGUAAUUAAUCAUGAAAAGUACUUUUUGGAUUUUUUUUUUCAAGUGAAUAGAUAUCGAUGAUGAUGAGUUAGGUAUCCGAGUAGUUUGAAUUUUUUGAAAGUUAAGUUAUUUAAUAGUAAGGUAUUCAAAAUCUAACCCAAAUGUUCAAAAUUCUAUCAAAACUAUUCAUAAACUUAAUUGAAAUCGUUUAAUGACAUAGGUUAAUUAUCUUAAAUUGAAUAAUUAAGAUAUAUAACUAGGGUUUAUUGCUUUAUUUUAGUUUUUUUUUUAUAAUUUUAAUUUUAAUUUUUAAAUAAAUCAUAUAUUAUUUGAACUUGUUGGUUAAGGUGUGGAAAGAGUGAAAAAACUAGUGAAUAAAGUAGUUAAUCAUAUAUUAUUUUUUAAAUAAAUCAUAUAUUACCAUCUUUUGAAUAAAGUAGGAAUUAGUAGUUAGCAUCGUUAACAUUGGAACAUGCCAAAUAUUAACUUACUAAAACAAGAAAUACAAUCAUAACAUGUGGGUAGCUUAAAAGCUAAUUACCACAGCAAUGGCUUCUCAUCUAUCAAGAAACUUAAGCUUGAUAUUAAUGAUCAUCAUUAACUUAAGACGCUUAGAUUGAAAUUGAUUGAAUUCAAUUAAUUUGUUUGACUUUUGUAGUUUUGAUGAAGAGGAGGAGCAGUCUAUUCGACUGUCUUAAUCAAUUUUCGAUAUCUAAAAUUUAUAACCGAAUAAUUCAAAAAAUAGACUAUUAAUAAUAGAUUUUAAAUAAUAAAUAUUAUUAAAAUUUUAAAAUAUACCAUAAAAAUACUUCCUAUUCAAAUCAAAACAAAUCUACCGAAUCAAUUUAAAUAAGUUGAUUUCGAUUAUUUUUUUUAAAUUUUGAUCAAUUUCAAUUAUUUUUUAUAUUAAUUUAAUUCAAUUUUUAAAAUUUUAUGAUUUAACCGACAGACCAACCGAAUGCUCAUCUGUAAUGUAUCGAAGCCCUUGCAAUGAACUUGGAUUCAUUUUCCAUAAAAAAGGAUUGGUCCAAGUGUUGGGUUUUAGGGUUUAGCUUGAUAAUAAAGAACUUAAGCCCAUUAAAAUAAAUGGAGCUUCGCUCAAAGGCUAAGAUUUGAACCCUUAAUUAAUUCAAUAAUAAAGAGGACAAACUCUCUAAUCAACCUAUGCCACGUAACGAGGAUAAGAAUCAGAAUUUUCUAGUUGCUAUUGGCACAGCUGACGUGUAAACACUGUUUGGAUGGGAAUUAUAGCUUCAAUACGUGUCAAAAUUAUGGGAUGUUUGCUUCUGUCUUCUUCUAAUCCACAAAAGAACGAAAGAUGUUAAUUUUCCUCCAAAACAGCUGGAAGAGGACACGUAAUCGAAAAGGCUCAGCAACUUCUUCCACGUGGCACCUAAUACCCAGAACCCGACAAGGAUUUUCAAUGUCUAAACCCAGACAGUCAACUGUUUGGCUUGCUUUUCCAGCUCCUCGCUAGUUGUCUCUGUCGCAUUGUGAGCUUCGCUUCUUUUAUCUGUUUCUUCUUGUUAUUUUCUUUUGUUUGGGUAUUUACUAUUUAGUAACCAGGAGGCUGAAGAGGAGAAGGAAAAAUGAUGGGGAAGAAGAGUUUUUUGGCAAUGAGGGCUGAGCAGGAAGCAAGUGAUCUGAUCAGUUCUGAUUUCAAAGAGCUAGUCUUUGCUGCCAAGAAGCUUGCUAAUCAUGCUAUCAAGUUGGGUUCUUUGGGAUUUGGGACUUCAAUUCUUGAAUGGAUCGCUUCCUUUGCUGCAAUGUAUGCCACUCUCUUUGCUCAAAUCUUCGUUUUUCAGAUUUCUGUUUUUCUUUUUCUGUGCUGUUAGGCUCAUGGUGAUCCCAAACCAAUCACCCGAUCGAAUGUGAUUAACUGUGGAUUUUCUUCUGAGUGAAGGGAAUUCUCCAGAUUUGACAGUUUUACUAAUAUCUUUUUUGAACUGGAUUGGAAUUUGAAUGUUUUAUAGUUCUCAUGUUGGAAUAUUGUUUACCUGUAUGAACUUUUGAGGAUCUUUUUUUUUUGAAAUGUAAACUUUUUAGGAUCUUGUUUUUGCCUUUGCUUUCUCUGAUUCAUUAUCAGGGGAGUUCUUUCUUUUGUCUAAAAAGUUUCUUGUUGCUCUUGGUCAUUGUGGGUAUUUUACCCUAGGGAAUUUUCCUGAUCCUACCCUUACUCUUUAAUGAGGAGUGGCCUCCUGCAAGUAUAGGUAGCCUGUUUAAGAAGCACAUCUUCCCUCUUCCCUCUUCCCAAAUUUCCAAUUUCCCUUUUUUAGACUAAAAAAUAUUGAUACCUAUGCUUAUUUCAGUAGUUCAGGAAUUCUUUUUUUUUUUUUUGAAAGUUAGUAGUUCAGGAAUUCUAAUGGUUUACUUUGUUCCUAUCUUAUGCUUGAUGCAGUUAUCUAUUGAUCCUGGACCGAACAAAUUGGAAAACAAAUAUUCUUACAGGAUUAUUAAUCCCAUAUAUCUUCUUGAGUCUUCCUUCAUUAUUGUUCAACCUCUUCAGGUAAAUCCAUUCUGCGGGCAGCACCGGUUCUUGUAGCUCAAGUGUUCUUUUUUCAUUUCCAUUUUAAUAAAUUGUUUUGUCAUGCAGGGGAGAGGUUGGAAAAUGGAUCGCUUUUGUUGCAGUUGUUUUGCGCUUGUUCUUCCCUAGACGUUUCCCAGGUAUGAUAUUGAUGUAAUCCCUCUGUUACUUUGGUCAUGCUUGAGUGCUAUCAUCUGGUAAUUCACUAGGAUCUUUGUUUUGGCUUGUCAUAUUUGAACUAUUAUGCAGUAAAAUAGUUGGUGACUUUGGGGUUUACUAACCGAACUGUUUGCUUUUGCAUCUUCAAUUUGAUUGAAAAUCUAAGUAGUUAUGUUAGACAACUAUGAUGGUAUUCGAAAUUUGUGGUAACCGGUUGUUACUUUUUACUGGAAACUGCAGAUUGGCUGGAACUGCCUGCUGCUUUGAUUCUUCUAAUAGUGGUGGCUCCUAGCUUAUUUUCAAGCACCAUAAGAAACGACUGGAUUGGUGUGGUAAUAUGCCUUGCCAUUGCUUGCUACCUGCUUCAGGAACACAUCAGAGCAUCGGGUGGGUUUCGAAAUUCUUUUACCAAAGCGCAUGGAAUAUCAAACACGGUUGGCAUAAUUCUUCUGUUGGUCUACCCGGCGUGGGCUUUGGUAACUGACAUCCUAUAGGUUCGAGGAUCAGCAGCUUGUCGGUUGCUUUUAGUUUUCUGAAGUUCAUGAAUUGUUUCCCCUUGUACCAUCCAUUAUUUGUCUAGACAUACAAAUUCAUUGUCAGUUUUGUGCCAUAAGACAUGGUUUUUCUGUUUGCUUUGGUGCAUUCGUAGGAAUUCCUUGUUUAAAGGAUUUAUCAUAGUAUUACUUUAUUAUUGUUGUAGAAAGAAUAUUUCUUUGACUGGCUUGAGGAACCUUGAAACACUGUUUGUAUUCCUGUAGAAAAACUGAAUGUUAAGACAGAAAUGUUCAUCCAUUUUCGCUUUGUUCCUGGAAUUUAAGCUUUAACAAACAUGUUGAUGUAAGAAGGUUUGAUACUCAGGACUUAAUAAACCCUGAAAUGCUGGUGAUAAUGAUACUUGAAAGAUAUGGAUGCCAAGUUUGCUGAGUUCAUUCAUUUAGUUUGCACUGCAGAAAUGUGUAGCAGAAUUAAAGAAGCCUGCAUAUCCCAAAUUCAUCAACGAAAUUGUACCUUCUGAAUAGACACUGGCAAGUAAUAAACAGAAAGCUUCUGAUAAUUUUUUAUUUAUGUACCAACACUAACAGAGAUCAGUUUUCAACUUCAGUUUUAAGUACUAUAACUUUUCCUUCAAUAAAUUUUCAAACAAACAGAAACAAGUUUCAGCAACUGCUGGUAAUCGACAGCUGAAUAUCAGGGUCUUGCUUCUCGGAACUGCUCUCAUACCUUUGACCCCUUUGCUUCACUGUACAGUUGAUCGAUGCGGUCCUGCAGAUGAUGUUGGCAUAUGAUACAAAUCAAGUCUUUGCGAAAAAUAUAAGGUCCCAAGGAAUUAUUUGUUUGUGGAUCAGAUUUCAUGGCGUUAAAAGCAAUAGAAAAGAUGGAUAAGAAAAGCAUAUUUUUACCUUGUAGUAUUUGAGCAGCUGUGGCCUCUUCAGCUUAAAUGUUGGGGUUAUGAGAUCCCUCUCCAUGUCAAAGGGAGUUGGUUCCAAGUACACUGCUUUUAACAUCUCAAAGCCUCUAAGCUGUGCAAGCACAAAUGUUGCAUCAGUCGAGGAAAAAAUGAUUUGAUAUUGUUUUAAUUUGCAGAGCUAGGAAGAAGAAACUGCGAGGAAAUUUUAUCCACUUACUUGAUGUUUCUGACCAGUGCUAUUUAGCUCGUCUAGAAUGUACUUCCUUGCCUUACGGUUUUCACACAAUGAUUUGAAAUCAACAGCUUCAUCAUGUUCCGUCGCCCAAUCCUCUAGUGCCUUUCUUUCAGGGACUACCACAGCCACAAGAAAUGACUCAAAGCUGUUCCCAUAAACCCAGAUCUGACCAUUGGAAAGAUUAAGAAACUCACGUUUAGAGCAAUGUCAAAAAUGUCUGAUGCUUAUAUGUUAUGGUAGAAAUGAGACGUUCUAGUUUGUAGCAAUUCCAGUUGUGCAGUAUAUCAGCAAAGCCAAGCACAAGAUCCAGACAGCAACAUACCGAUGUUAUAUGAGGGCAACGUGAGUAUGUAUUUUCAACGUUCUCCACAGCAACGUAUUCGCCUUGCGAAAGCUUGAAUAUGUUCUUUUUCCUGUCAAUGAUUUUCAUCGAUCCAUCUGGUUGCAGCUCCCCAAUGUCACCUGUAACAAUAUCAACAUGUUGAGGAAUCAAACAGUUGAGUUUCUGCAUAUUGUUACUCUGAUGCAAAUUUGAAGGUCUUAUACCUGUGUGAAACCACCCAUCGACAAGAACUUCAUCAGUUAGAUCUUGCCUCUUGUAGUAACCUGAGAACAAGGUGUUUCCCCUAAGGCAUAUUUCUCCUCGUGGCACACUGGACAAUGCAUCAUAUCCCAUCUCUGGCACUGACUCAAGCCUUGCUUCAAUGGUUGUCAUGGGAACUCCAACAGUUCCGAUCAUAGACAUUACAUUGGCGAGGGAAGUAAAACAUCCACCGCAGCUCUCAGUCAAACCUGUCAUGUUAAGAAAUCAGAAGAUAGCAAAGAGGAAUUUUCAUAAGGUAAUAAUCACUUCUUACCAUAUCCCUGUGAUAAAUUAGAGCAGCAGGAGACCCGCAGAAAUUCCUCCACAUGCCUAGGCAAAGGUGCUGCACCCGAUAACAUUAUACGAACUUUGCCUCCCAAUGCUUGUCUUACCUACAAGAAUUAAAUCAUUUUCAGCAAGUAAAACAGGAAUCUUAGUUAGAAUGUACAAAAGACGUGUAGAUGAGAAACCUUGUCAAAGACCAGUUUGUCCAAGAGAGGGGAUGCUUUGUCUUGCGGGAAUCCAAUCUCCAUAUUUCCUAAUUUGCUGUUUGAAGCUUUUCCAUCAGUUGGACAGUAGACUUACAAUCGAGAAAAAUCCAACAAAGGGGUUUACCAUAAAACUUACUAGUUAUAGGCAUACUGGAACAACUUAUUCCGAAUUGCACCACCAGAUGAAAUUUUGUUAACAAUACCUUCAAGCACAAGUUUCCAUGGAUAUUGCUUAGAACAACUGGUAUCAAUACAAUAUCAAGUUACAUAAUGGUUCAGAAAGAUAGUUAUCUGUAUGUACCAGUGUAUAUACGGUCAUAAACUCUUGGAACCCCACAAAAUGCAGUUGGCUUUAGUUCCUGAACAUCUUCCAUUAGAUAACGGACAUCCUGCAAGUAAAGGAGAACUGGAUUGGAUGACUUUGUACUAAAGAGAGAAAAGGACAAUGGAAAAGUGUACAGAUUAUGGCAAUCUUAAUCUUACCCCUUGCCAAAAUCCUAUGGAGGAACCCCUUUUGAUGAAAUAGGUUUCCAUUAUCUGAUCAUAUACAUGCGCCAGAGGAAGGAAGGAAAAAUAUGUAUCUUCCUCGGAACACUGUAAUGGAAAAUCAUAUCACCAAAAUGGAAAUUCUUGCAAGCUCAAUGUGGGAAAAAGAAAAACAGCAUAUGAGUUGAUUAUGCAUCUUUAUCCCUAACAAGAUUUAAGUUUAUGUCUGCAUUCUCACCGCUCUGUCUGUAAUGUCUAUGAGUUGAUCUAUGGACAACACUUCUGUCAUGAUUGCCCUGUUUGUGAGAAUGACUCCUUUUGGUUCUCCUGUUGUUCCACUAGUAUACAUUAUUGUGCAUAUGUUAGUCUUCUGUUUUGGAGGAAGUUCACAAUCCAAUGAGCCCUGGGGAAUCAUUAGACAGCAGGUGAAAUUUUUGUAACAAUCUGAUUGAAUUGAUCCCAGAGAAACAUUGUUCUGAUCAUGACACGAGGGCACAACUAUAUCAUCAUCUUACCAGCUCAGAGAACUCCUUCCAAGAAAAGAGAGAUACCCCAAGUUCUUCAGCUUCCUUCUUCUGUGUGCUAGAAACAUAUGAAAAGCUGACAAUAGCUGGAGAAAGAAGAUAAGUAGUUUAGGAAUCAAAUGGCCUUCAACAUUCAAAAAACAGAGUGGAAUAUUUUCACUUACUUUUUAGGUAGGAGGAACAUGCUGGAAGGCAUGAUAGAAUCUGCACAGGAUCACAAAUUGUGAACAAAACUAAUACGAAACCCUUCUAAAAGAAAACCACAUAGCUUCGGUUGCAAUGAAAACUUACUGCAGGGAGCUUGUUCUCUUGAACAAAGGCUAUUGAAACUUCAGCAUGGUUAAUGAUGAACUCCACUGCAUUAGCACCUGCAACAAAGUAAAGAAACCAGAUAAAUCACCACCUCAAAUGAAUCGAAGAAUGACAGAUAACGGCAAUGCUUCCAGCUUAUUACUAAUCAUCAGACCUCAAAAUGGAUUAAGAGAAAGAUGUCAUACCAAGAGUAUCAUAUAGCGGUACAUAUGUGACAGCUUGACUGUUACAAGCCUGUAGAAAAAGGGGAAAACAAGUACUUAUUGCCUUGAUCAAAAAGUAAGUUAAAUUGGCAGAAUAAAAACUAGGCAUACCUCCAUAGCAAUGAUCCAUUCUGGACAAUUUGACCCAUAUAUACCACAGCGGUCUCCCUAUACAUGACCAUGAAUGUUUUGUUAAACUUCAGAAGAUCUAAAUGAAGUUAAAUUAGGAUUAAAAUUAUGUUUAACUGAUGGACUGCAGGCUUACAGGGUUGACACCAAGGCUCCUCAUGGCAGAACCAAUUCUAACAGCUGCAUCAUAAGCCUCCUGGUAUGUGAUCCAUACGUAAGGACCAGCUUGCUGCAAAACCAAAUGAAAAUUUUAUGCACUUUGGCAUCUUCCAGGGAACUACAUACUUUUUUUUUUCUAAUUAUGUUUUCUUUUUUAAAUAAUAAAUUAUUCUAAUUAUAAUCAACAAAGUAAAAUCCAAAAUAAUUAUUUACGACUGGAGUGAUCAAUUGACAAAACAUAUCUAUAUUGCCAAAAUUGUAUCAUGUCAAUAGCUUUUACAAUUGAAUAUUCACACUCUUUAAUGAUUAUCUCCAAUCAGACAUUUAAGGAAAAUAUAAAGAUUAAAUUCGUCGUAAAUUAUGGUAUAAAUACUAAAUCUUCAACUUUAUUCUCUGGCAAUAAAUUACAUGAGGAUGAAUGCAGUGUACCUUAGAAUCUGUGGUUUGUCGUCGACCCAACAUUCGACUAUUUGGAAUCCUUUUAACAGAAUCACUGCAAGGACAAUACUGCAAUUCAAUUUCUCAGAACAAGUAUAACCAUAGAAAUAAAAUUAGACAUCUGGCCUAUUAGCUCAGUUGGUUAGAGCGUCGUGCUAAUAACGCGAAGGUCGCAGGUUCGAGACCUGCAUGGGCCAAUAUAUUUUUAGUAACAAGAAUUAUUUCCUUGUUCCUUGUUCCCAACAAUAAAAGCAGAAAAAUCCCAUAAAAAAAUCCACCCAAAGAAGAAAUGAAAGUGAUAACUAAGUUCUUUCUUUUAGUGGUUGAUUCCCCAAGAUGUGCAACCUUCACAUUUCUUUCAUCACAUCAAGGACCUUAGAUGCCAAGAAAGAUCUUCUAGAUUUUGUUGAUCUAAUCAGACUAAAACAAAAACUUUGCAAAAUCAGUUCUAAAAAAGAAGAAAAAAAUGGUAGCAACCAUUGAUCUUUUAGCACCCAUAAGAUGCUGAUCAAGAACACUCACCUAAAGAACUCCCAUGGAGAAUGCUUUCCCUCAGGCAAAUCCAGGAGACCAUCUUUAGCAUAUAUGCACCUAUAAACAGGCCCUGCAGACGGCUUUUUCUCGGUUGCAGGCCUUGAUUCUUCAACCUCUACAGCAUAUGCGACAGACAUUGUUUACCUCAAUGCCAAAGACUAUUGCCAAAGAACCCUUGUGGUUUGCACCCAAAGAUCAAGAGAAAUUUAUGUAAGAAAACCCUGUGACAUGUGACAAGCUUUGAUGAUAAUUUAACCACCAGAGGAGAGAGACUGAAAGACGGAAGGGAGGGGAGGUGGGACCGUUGGUUGAGCUGCUGCAAUAAUUCCAAGAUGAGCAUUUGCUAGGAGAGGAGACGUCUGAGCAAAUUUAUAUAACUGCGUUUAAGCGUGGAUUUAUGAACCAAAUCGAAGUCUUGGUUGUCCCAUGCAACAGGUUGGACACCGGAAUAAUUAAAAGCCUUUGCCUCUUUAUUUAUUAUGGUGGAUGAAGGUUGGUGAAUGACUCUUGAAUAUGCAGUAGUCUUCUCUGUCUAAUGUCCUUCUUACGUUGUAAACACCACUCUGUUUGUCUUUAAAUGUUAAUAAAAAUAUAAUACGUAUAUCAAUAUCCCAUACUCAUUUUUUUCUUUAAUUAGUUCAAGAUUUGAUUAACCUACCAAGACUUUCCUUGCAUAUUCAUAGACAGAUAAUCUAAAGUCUUAGGGUUUUAGUUAGUUUGGUGUUUUAAUUUAAUUAUAAUUAAAGCAAGUAUGCAUGCAUAUAAACAUAGUAGUAUAUCUUUUGCACACUUUCCUAAUUAAACUUGACAUUGGACCACUUUAAUGUUGAGGAAAUAUAAUGCAAAAAACUUAUAGGUUUAGGGUUUUUUCCUAUAUCUUUUUGUGUUUUUUGGUGGAAUUUGAACAAAGUAUAAACAAGAGUUGAGAUUAUGGAUGAACAUGUUAAGACUUUGGGACAUUGGUAGGUGAUAGGGGCAAUGAAUGCUGCUGACCAAAUAAGGAGGCCAUUAAUGCUUUUUAAAAGUAGUGACUUUAUAACAUAAGGUAUAUUGUAUUUUUUUUUUAUCAAAUUGGAGAACAGAUAAUACAUGAAUCACGAAAAUCUUUUUAUAAACAUUAAUAUUGAAUUAAUUGUUUUAGUACAUAAAAUUCAUAUUGUUACAGGUUUUUAUUUAAGAAAAUCAUAAUUUGAUACGUGUGGAAUUAUCAUACUUACGAUCAAUUAUAUUGUAUUAAAUGUGAAAAUAAUUUUUUUUUAAAAAAACAAAAUCUAAAAAGUCUUAAGCAUUUAGCUUAGUUGUUUCUUUUGUUUCUCAAAGAAACUUUGACAAGAACAAUGUUGGGUUUUUGAACCUUCAUUAUGAGCACCAGUGUUUUCAUGCUUAUAAUCAAUGGGAAGUGACUGAUGUUGAAGUAAUUAAACUAACUGGCCUUGGAUCAUUAAUGAUUAAACUACUUUUAGUGACAUUAAAUAUUUGUCUGAACAGUACAGGGUCUUGGCUGGGCUGCCUCCACAAACCAUUAGACUAGGCCAAGCCCAGUCUUCAAUAUCGAUGAGAAUCAUAGCCUUUUUGCUAAUUUGAUCAUUCUACUUUCAAAUUUGUCCUAGAAGCUCUUGCUAAAAUCAUCAUUGUCGUUAAAAAAAUAUGUUUAAUCGUAUUCAAAUUCAUUCACCUUUUGCACCAUAUGAAAAAAGUAUAUUAAAAUUACGUCAAAUUAACAUAAUCGUACGAAUUCGUCUUGCUUUUGAAUUCAUAAUUUUUAUGUAUUUUGGAUAAAACGUUAAUUUAACAUUAGUGAUUUAUAAAUAAUAACGUUUUUAAGCAAAGAAGUGAAAUGCAUACUUCAUUGGAAAAACACUGGUUGCCUUCUGGCAUGAGUUUUAUGAAGCAAAAAUGUACAAAAUUUUUGUAAUUAGUCAAAAUUUACAAGUGAUAGCUUACAAGUUGCAAAUACUUAUACAAUGACUCUUCAAAAUAGCCAAAACUUUACCACCAAAUAACCAAAUGAUUUGGGUUUACUAGUUCAUAUAUAAAAUUCUUUACUUCAACAUGAUAUUUGACCUUAGUUUAUUGCUACAUAUAUACCUAAUAUUAACCUUAUUUCCAUUUAUUCACCAUGCACCGGAUCCACCUCGACGUUGGCAUCGACCCUAGCUUGACAUCGAUCCUGACCCCGACAUCGAUCUCGACUUGACGACAUUAUCCCCUUCAAGAUUGGCAGCGAGACAUUGUGAAAUUGAAUUAAAUAUGGGCAGCAAAUGUUAAGUACUACUUAUUUUGUGAUAAAGGUUAAAGAGAAAGGCCAAAAAGAAAAAUGAUGUAGUAUUUAAUGUUAUCUAGUGAUAAAGUUUAAAGUUGUGCAAAUCUCACGAGGAAGACAACUUUUAGUUUCUUAAUUUGUCAUUUUGCUAAGGAACUUUAGACUGAGUAAAAUCUCUUAAAUAAAGGGUAAAAAAUCCACACAAAAUCAUCACCAUGCCCAAAAGUCAAAUCUUCAAUGUCUAUUUAAUGCACUGUCAAUAUAUAGAUAAUCUAUAUAUUAAAUACCGUGAAUCAAAUAUUACUGUCUGGUUCUUAAAAUAAAUUUAAUACUAAGAAACUUUAAAAAACUCAUUAAAAAAUUCGAAUGAAUUAAUUUGAGUUAAUUUAUUAUUUAUUAGUUUGAUAGAGAAAGCAGAGUUAAAAAGUCUAAAAUUGCCACUAAGUAUGGUAUGAAAGAGAUAACACGCUUCUCGGCCUGUCUUCCAUUUCUUGGAAGAUCGUCACUGAUGUGGGUCACCACAUCAAAAUCUUCUUUUUCCAUUUUGCUCAUCAUUUUUUUUUUCUCAUAUUGGAGUCAAAUGUUUUAGGCUACAAAAAUAGACCUUUACCUCCAUUCCCCCAAUAAUCACAAGCCACGUGAGAGGAAUUGCUUACGUGUCAGAAAGAGAAAACAUGGAAAUCCGAUUGCUAGAGAUGAUCAUCCGUAGUGGAUCAAACCUCCUUGCUAGCCUUAAAUUCACCAAUGUCGACGUGUCGUGUACCCGCCAUCUUGCAUCGACAAGUCGUUGGGUGAGACCAGACAGAACAGAACAGUCAACUCUUCGGACAUUAAACCCCUCAAACCCCCCUCCCUUUCCAAACUUCUAACGCCAGACUCCAGAAACAACAACCCCACCACCACCACUCUUACGAAAUCACUACCAUCGCCGGUCAUGGGGUUCACCACCUGGGCCCCAUCUCCAUCCCCGACUCCUUCCUCUUCUCCCUCGUCAUCACCACCGCCGUCGUCAUCGUCAUCUACGUCAUCUUCGUCGUCGUCAUCGUCAUCACCGCCGCCUUCGAAGCUUCCAGUUGAUUUCAGCCCACCGUUGAUCGCCAUGGUGGUGGUAGUCGCUGCAGCGUUUUUAAUCGUUACAUAUUCACGUCUCAUCUCCAAACGACUCGUCCCUCCAAUCCUCCGCCUCCUCCGCUUCUUUCGACGUCGCCGUCGCCGUCGUCGUUACCUCCCAUCCACCACUACGGACCUCGACUCUCUUCCACCCUCCGAUCCAUUCGAACUCCCUCUUUCUCCUUAUGGCCUCGAUGACUCCGCCAUAAAAACCCUGCCUCUUUCGCUCUACACUUCGAAAACAAAACCCCACAACAGCCCCAAAGACUGUGCUGUUUGCUUGUUGGAGUUCGAAGACGAUGAAUACGUCCGAACACUUCCCGUUUGCUCCCAUGCCUUCCACGUUGAUUGCAUCGAUGCUUGGUUAAAGUCACAUGCUAAUUGCCCGCUUUGUAGAGCUGGAAUCUUCGCUACAGAAUCUCCGUUUACUCCGUUAAUGGCAGCCAGAAUCCGUCCGAGCCUCGACGACACCGUUUUACCCAACAGCACUCUGGAUUCCCUAACGGAAACUCCUUUCCAAACUCUUCCGAAUAACACCAUAACGGAAAUAACCGAAGAGCCGUCACCAAGAAGAGCGAAUGGGAAUAGUAAUUGUGAGGAAAGGUUUAAUUUUGUUUUGAAAAGGUCGUAUUCGUUUGGUUUCGAGAGGAGUUUAGCGGCAGAGAGGAUGAUAACGGAGCCCAACACGGCGUCGCCUUGGAGAUAUAGGAGAGGAGGGAACGGGUUUUGGAGCAAACGGGCGUCGCCCUUUGGGUCGUUAAUGACGAAACCGAGGGUUUUCUCUUUUAGGUAUUACAGAGGGAUGAAAGCUUCGCCAUUUUUUCGACGGAGAGGGUUUUUCCCAUUGUCGGAAUCAAGUGUCAGAUUUACUGGAAGUGGCGGCGGCGGCUCGUCGAGGAGAACCAAGUCAAUGGCGAGUCCCAUGUUUUUAAGAUCAGCGGCUUCCAGUGUGGCGGCUUUUUCAUCAAGUCGGCUCAGGUGCGGGGAUCCCGAGGCACUACUGUCACCGGAGAGGUUCAACAGAAGAUAAAAAAAGAGAAAAAAGAAAGAGAAAACUCUUUCCGAGAAAAGAAAGAAGAAGACAGUGGGACACGUGGAAUGUUGGAUCGAGAGAUCGACGGGAAAGGGGCGGUAGGAGAUUGGGGUCCGGUGACAUUAAUGGGAAACAAGCAUGCAAAGCAGAGUUAAUGCAUGAGAGAGAGAUAAAGAGAGAGGGCGAGAGAGAACGGUCGGGCUCUGGCAAUCGAGUCGAAAAAGGGGAGAAGCAUUAAUGGGAGGUGGGGAGAGGCAUUAAAUGAGAAAAUUGACGAGAGAGAGACACGAUUUUCUGAGCUUUCUCUUUCUCUUUCUCUUCUCCAAGCUUAAAGCCUUCACUAGAGAAAGAUAAAAAAAAACAAAAACCCAACAAGGAAAAGAGCUCAUAAAUGCUGAGAGGUUGAGACUUCAGAUGAUUCAUGGAAGGAAAGGGUUCUCUUAUAUGGGACUGCUGUUGGUUUGGGUUGGGUUUGGUUUGGUUUGAUUUGGUGUUUUCCUCUUUGUCUUGCUACCGACAGAAGUCCAUGUUGGGAUGCGAACAUGGUCAGUUUUUUUGACACAACCCGGAUCAUGUGCUUGCCAUGUGGGCAUGGACCGCACCCAUCUGGUUUUAUUUAUUGAUUGAUUGAUGAGAAGGGGUAGCAGGGGAAAACAAUGGCAGAGAGAGAGUAAUGAGGAGUGUAGUCACUUCUUCUUUUGUGCUGCUCAUUUACCAGGGGUGGUUCAUUUUGUCCAUUCCAUUUGGUUUGGUCACUUCUUUGAAUUCAAUGCAGAUUAUACUGGGAAUUGGAGACAUUAAUUUGGGCUUUCCAUGCCUCUCUUCUAUUGCUUCCACUUUUGUAUAUACACACCACAUCUUUUUCUCCUCUUUAUUCAUGCAUAUUGCUAACUUGUAAUGUCAUUGUUCUACUCUUAAAGACACGUUCAGUUUGCAGAAUAAAGAUAAGGAUGUAAAAGAAAUAAAACAUUCAUUUUGCGAGUACAGAAUAUAUAAAAAAAUAAUUAUUUUAUGAAGUAAUUUGAUUUAUAGAAUGAAAAAGAAACAAAAUAGUAUUAGGGUAUGUAAAGAAUACGUAGAAAAUAUCUUGUCUAUGGUAUGUUUUGUCAUUGUUUCCCAUGAAAUAUUUCAUUCACGAAAUAGAAAUAUAAAUAAAUAAAUAAAUCAUUCUAUGAUAAUAUAAGAAGAGUAAUUAUCUUAUAAUUUGAUUUUAUGAAAUGAUACGUUUUAUAUAUUUAGUUAAUGAAAAACAAGUAAAAUAUAAGUAUGGGAUAAGUACAAAAAUACCUUUUGUACAAGAAAAACAAUGUACCUUCUACUUGGAAUUGUUCAUUUAACCAUUGGUAAGUGAUAAAAAAAUAAAAAAAUAAAAAGAGAAAGAAAAAGAAAAUAAUAGGGGGAAAGGGACCUCAUUGACCACGCACGUGUUUGGUCAAGAGAUCCAAAGAGGCACGUGCCACAACGCUUUCCCCUUGAAAAUGCCCUCGAACGCUAAACCCCUCCCUUAAACCCUCCAGAUUGGAAAGUCGAACCAGAAAAAGCCAGACGCAGCUAGGGUUUCAGCUUCUCUCUCCGUCGACCCAGGCUCGAACAGAAAGCCGAGGGAAAUCCAAUCGAAGCAGCGAUGUUCCCAGGAAUGUUCAUGCGCAAACCAGACAAGGGGGCGGCCUUGAAGCAGCUGAAGGCACACGGGGCUAUGUUUGGGGUAUGGGUAGCUGUGGUUCGUGUCACUCCUUACAUUCUUCAUUACCUCUCUGAUGACAAGGAAGAGCUCAAGCUCGAGUUCUAGAUGCCUCUUUCUCAUUCUUUUCAGGUAAUUUAAACACUUGGAUUUUAUUUUUAUCACCAAUCAUUUUUCUUGUACUAGGACUAGUUUUGGGAACUGGGUAUUUUUUUUUCAUGUGGAUUUUUGACAGAUACGAAUUAUUAUAUCUGGGUUGAAUGCCAAUUUUUGAAAUUCUUUUAUGUGUCAAAUCAAUGAAAUGUAGUUUAUUGUAACUAGCAAAGCAACAACCAAACACAGCCUUUAGUAUUUGUAUGCUCAAGACAUGUUCAGGGAGAUUAUUUAUCUAAGGAGUGAUGGCAAUGAUAUGAGAGAUUUUAGACAUGGCUAAUUUGAUGUAACUGAAAGUUUCUGUAAAUAGAUAUAUUCAGGAAGGCGAUGAAAUUUUGGAAUAUGGAUUAGGAAUUCAUUCUUUGAAUGGAGUGUAAAAGCAUCCUCUUUGUCCAUAGGAAAUGAUUUCGGAAAGAUAUAUAGUAAUUUGGGAGGAGGAUGCCUUGUCAUUGUGGUUUGAGGUGGACUACCCUCCCUGAUGGGGCACUUUUAAUUUCCUUAAUGUCAUUUUUAUUAAAUGUUGGCAGCAGAUUCAUUGGCUUGGGAUGGUUUCUUUUAUUAACAACGUUUUUGGAUUGUGUUAUAGUAGCACGGAAAGUCAUUCUGCCUAUCCAUUUGCUUAAUACUGUUCCUUAGUGCCUUUCCCUUGGCGAAUAAGAGUAGAAAUGUAGAAUGACAUAUACAUGACUGAUUAUUUUGCCAAACUUGCAUAGCUGUAAAUACACCCAAUUUAGUUGCUCAGUUUUUUCAUGGUUUUUUAGAACUUUCUUUGUUUUUUUUGUUCCAAAAAGAUAUCAUUUGUUAAAAGUAGUUGCCUUGUCUUCAGUUUCCAUGUUGUCAGGAAAUUAUGUAAUGCGCUAUUUUUUUGUAUAUGAUGCCUUGCCAUUGUUGUUGACAACUUUUAUGGUUGCAAUUCAAAUAGACAAUAUUGUUUCAUUUUUCUUUGUGAUCUUGCAUAGGAUAAUGAGAACAAGUGCACCUUCAGGUUAUAGCUUGUAAAUUGCAUGUAGUUGCAUUUAGUGGUUGAGAAAACAGAUUGCUUCAUAUGGUAACCAUGGGAAUCAUGUAGUAGCCACAUCCUGCCUUUUAUCUUGUUGUGUUACUUAUCAUGGUGAUGCCACUAGCUAGUGGAAGAGACUUUAGUUGUCUUUUAUAUGAUGGUUUAUUGUUAAAGUAGUCAUUUUAGCUCUUAGCUAGCAUGUCUCCCUCAUUCACUUUACUGGGGUUUUGUUUUAUCUUGUUUGUUGCUGAUCUUUCCUCCUUUUGUGGUGCAGUGGGUCUAUAAGGAGAGAAUUGGAUUGGGAUGCAAAAGAGUUUCAAGUACUUGAUUCCUUUUCAGCCUGCUUAAGUAUGAGACCGUGGUGUUAUCACAUUAGGUUAUAUUUGCAUUUGCUUUGAUCAUGGUUAUUAGAUUUUUUAUUGAAACGGAGGCUGGAAUACUUCCAUAUUAUGUCAUGACGGUUAUAUCUAAUUGAAUAUACUUUUGAAUUUCUUGCUUGUGGCAUAGGAAGAUGAUAUAUCGCCAUUGGCAUAAUUGCCUUUGGCUGGAAAAAUGGGAAAAUUUUCUUUUUCUUCUUUGCCCUUCCCUCAAAUUAUUGAAUAACCUAUGAUUUUAUUUUAUUCCUUCCUUGGCUUUUUGUGUAAGGGAAUUAAUUGCCAAGUUUGUUUGGGGAAAAAUACAAAAAACAAGGUAGGGACUGGGGAUUAGAUCUGAUAAUAGCAUAGCAGCUACUCAGAAACAUAUCAUAUGCAGCUGCUUAGUUUUCUGAACCAUUGGUUGAGCCUUCUGCUGCAAUGUCCUCAUCAAAAUUUAUCUGGUUUUCUGUUGGCAUUUUACUUUUGAAAGUGAUAGCACUCGAUGAUGCAGUAAUGGAUCAAAUCUGUAGAGGCUAAGGUGACCUGAGCAACAGAUAAUACUAAUAAAUAGAAUUUGGAUGCUUCAGCUUGCCAUUGCACCUUUAAAUUCCUGCAUUUACUUACUUUAGUACCAUUUUGUUUUAUUUAGAAGGAGAUUCGAAUCUUGUGUGUUGAGUAACCGAACACAUUUUGUGUCGGUCUUGUGUUCAGAACUUUUAAUGAAUUUUCUGCUGGGAAGUUUGAGAAUCUCCAAAAUUGGGCUUAGAGGUAAGGCAUGCAAGGCGAUCUGCAUUGAGCUCUCGAUCAGCAAGUUCUUGCCGACAGGUACUAAUGUAGAAUGUUGCUAGCUAUAAGUAACCUAUUCAUAUAGCAAGACAUGGGAUGUCUGCCAUCAACAAUGUAAGAGAAAAGGGAAUCUCCAACUGCAACCUUAACAUUGAUUUUGCUGUAGAAGGGGCGUGGCAAUGGCAUCAUCUUUUCCCACUAACAAGGGAGUCAGUAAAGCUAUGACAUGUGGAAAGUCCACAACCCUUCUUUUAAAAGCAUCGGCUCACCUUGUUCCUCCAGUCCUAUGCACAUUAUUUCCACUAGGAUUUUACCUUCUUUUUUUUUUUAUAGAUUUCCUAAUGCUCUUGGCCUUGACAAAAGUAGCUGCUUUUGGCCCCCAUCUCAUGAUGCUCCCAUUUUCCUACCAACCAUAGAAUAAGAAUUGAGGAAAGAAUAAAUAGUUGUCAAAAUGUACUAAUCUUCCUUUUGAACAUAAUUUUUUUUCUUUUUUAUUUGAGAAUGAGGGGAAUGGUAAAUUUAAGCUAUGAUGGUCACCUCCUUUCUAGUGAAUAGACACAACACAGUUAUGACACAGUGACAGUUUGAAAAUAACAAAACUACAAAUUUCAGCCAGAACAAUCUCUCCUCCCAGUCUCAAUUGUGAGCCUUAAGCACGAGAACGUGCCACCCAAUAGAACAAACAGAACCCCCAGCGUCAAAUUCAGCAUAAUUAAAGCACCACAAAAGGCAAAGCUUUCCAUAAUAGUCCAAAACUCCUCACUCUGAAACCUUGCCGGGGGACUUCAAUAACUUCCUUGUUCUUUCUUUGAUAAGCAAAUCAGCAUUCGUAGUUUCUUUGAUUUCAUGCAAGGAGAUUAACAAGGCGAAGAAUGUUGUGCCAGCGUUGGGUAUGGUUGGAUCACAUGCAUCAUCAUUGAUCGUACAUCCGUUGUUGUAGUGCACUUUUUUGGAUUGAUUUAGAUGACAAAUUCGGUGCUAAGAUGAGCCUGAGAAUUUUCCCAGAUAUCAAAGAAGAAGAAGAAGAAGAAGAAGAAGGUUCGAUGCAACAAGGCCAUGAAUGAGGUACCUGGCUCUGUGGGCACUAGUGCUGGCUUUUCUCUGAGAUUGGCACAGGCCCUUUUUUCUUCUGCUUCUCUUCUCUUCAUGUCUUUGGGAGUUGAGUUCUACAGCUACACUGCUUUCUGGUACGUCCCUAGUUUCAUUUCUUCUGCUUGUUUGAUAUGAUUUCGUGGCUCUCUACUUUUGUAUUUGUACCCAGCGAUCAUCCCAUGUAACACAUCUUUGAUCCAAUCAGCAACGAAAAAUUAUGCAUAAAACCUGCCUUUGAUUCCCCUAUGAAUUCUAUAUUUACCGAAUACCUGUCGCUCAAGACAAAAUUUGGGUUUCCAUGGAUUCUGCAGUAGAAUUUUCCUCUCUGAAAUUUCUGCCUGAUCUAUUACAAAUAGCAAUCAGAUUCUGUAGAUUCUCCUCCCGCAAUGUGAAAGAAAUUGUUUAUUGCCACUUUGUAAUUCC